This 47929-nucleotide long non-coding RNA is filed under the name Triticum aestivum (bread wheat). RNAcentral describes it as "long non-coding RNA (TAES_LNC009324)". The stretch from base 13264 to 13350 matches the Rfam family "MIR1120/MIR1122 microRNA precursor family". Lineage: Eukaryota; Viridiplantae; Streptophyta; Magnoliopsida; Poales; Poaceae. The record is from RNAcentral.
GCGGUGGCGCUAGGUAGCGGGGCGUGCAGGCCGCAACGGAGCCGAGCGGCGGCGAUUGUUAGCAGCAGAAGCAGCAGGCAGGGGGCGGGAGAGCUGGCUAGGCGAGCGGCGGGCGUGGUGGCACGGGCGUCAACGCGGGCAGCGGCUGGUGGAUGCGGGUGCGGCCAGGCGCGGCGAGGCGAGGCAGAGAGAGGCAGGCGCGGCAGGUCAGCCCGGCGGGAUCCGUUUGUUGCGGGCGCGGACAAUUGUGGGGCGCGACCCUUGACGACAGCGGCCAGCGAUGGAACGGAGCAGGGAGAGAGGGGGAAGUGGGCGGCGGAGCUCACAGUGGUGCGGGGAAGAGGGGACGGAGAGGCUCGGUGGAUCUNNNNNNNNNNNNNNNNNNNNNNNNNNNNNNNNNNNNNNNNNNNNNNNNNNNNNNNNNNNNNNNNNNNNNNNNNNNNNNNNNNNNNNNNNNNNNNNNNNNNNNNNNNNNNNNNNNNNNNNNNNNNNNNNNNNNNNNNNNNNNNNNNNNNNNNNNNNNNNNNNNNNNNNNNNNNNNNNNNNNNNNNNNNNNNNNNNNNNNNNNNNNNNNNNNNNNNNNNNNNNNNNNNNNNNNNNNNNNNNNNNNNNNNNNNNNNNNNNNNNNNNNNNNNNNNNNNNNNNNCGGGGGAGGGACCGGGGAUGGUCGGCACCUGGCGGGGCGCCAUGGAUGCCCUCCACGAUCCCCCUGUGCUUCCUGUAGGAGGAGGAAGGGGAAAACAGGGGGGUUGUUGGCUGGGCUGUAGUGUUGCGCGGCUGGGCCAAGUGCACAGUGCAGCCUGGCCUUUUCUUUUUAAUUUUUCUUUUUAUUUUAAUUUCAUCAAUCCAUCCUGUUUUGCAAAUUUUUAGGCCACAAAAAUAUUUUUGUAAAAUAUUUAAUGGUGCCACAUAAUUACUUUGCAUUAUUAGCAUUGCCAUAAAAUGGUUUGGUAUUUAACACAAAUGCUUGUUAAUUUUUAUAAUUCAAAAGGCAUUUAAAUUGUUGCUUUAGCCACUGUUUAUUUAUUGUAGGCUAUUCAAUAUUUUAUAAGAAUGUGGUUUAUUCACCAAUAUUUAUAUGGAUUAUUGGAAACAUUUAGAACAUUUUAGUCUUAACAUUUGAAAACUUUUAUUGAUUGACUUUAUUUAAAAUUUGAAUUCGAACUGGUUUUGAAUCAAAGUGAGAUUAGGAACAGUAAUUAUGGUGACAUGGCAUCAUUAGCAGGGGAUUACUAUAGCUUAAUUACCCAGGCAUCACACGACAACCCGACAAGGCGAAGACCCGGCAAGCUCCGUCGCCCGCAGACCCCCACCAAACACUAGCGCUCCACCUCUUUGGCCAGCUGGUCGCUGGUCGGUGAGGUGUCGAGCUCGCAGGAGGUUAGGUGGAGAUCGCCAGUAUGUGGCAGCAUGUUGGAGCGAAGUUACCUUUAUCGACACCCGUCCAAGUAGUGUGUCAAGAUAAUAGGAGUUAGCUAUGGUAAGCGGUGCAAUAUCCUUGCCGGGGUUUCUCCCCCUUCCGACACCUAGCGGUGCAUUAAAUGCCUUUUAUCCUAACUAGCAGAGUUAGGUAUGAUAGCAUUGUUUGCUAUCUAAUCACUAUGUAAUGACUACUUUGCCACUGUGGUAUCCCCUUGCACUAUAAAAGGAUGACUAGAGCAACCAUUAGAGGGGUUCGAACCCAUACAAACUCACACGCACAUUUGCUCGUGUAGCUUCCUUCCCCACACCUUGCCGGGGAAGUGUGCUCCUUGUACUUGUGUUCCCACAUUCCCAAUACAACCAAGCAGGAGUAGGGUAUUACACCACAAAGGCGGCCCAAACCUGGGUAAACUGAUCGUGACGCCCUCUGCUCGCCCUGCUCUUUGCGUUCUGUGCUCUCCCCUCGCCGAACCACAAAGGGGCCUAUUAACCCCAUAGAUCAUGGGCCCACGCCCCGACAAGGCCCAAUGUUUGGGUAGUGUAACCUUAGACGUAGUCUUCGGCACACCCGUGAACUUUCUAAGUGAAGAGUUAAUCUUCAAUAUCGUACCCUUUCGAAGUGGUUAUCAUGCACUACUUGGGCGAACUGCUUUUGCUCGCUUUCACGUUGUCCCCUAGACUAUGCUUAUCUAAAGCUUAAGAUGUCGGCGCUAAAAGGUAUGAUUACAGUCAAUGGGAAUACGAAACACUCCCUCCAUACAGAGGAACAGACUGCGGCUUUCGCAGCCGAGGUAUAGGCCGUCGAGGAUGCAUUAAGGGCCCGAGCUGUGUCAAGAUGACAGGGCCAAAUGAAGUGAUCGAGAAGCAUAAAAUUCUCCUCGGGGCAAUUAGCUGGCACCCUUAAAUAGGGACACUCGCUUCACCGUCCCCUCCAUAUGUCCGAAGACAAUGUUCCUCGNNNNNNNNNNNNNNNNNNNNNNNNNNNNNNNNNNNNNNNNNNNNNNNNNNNNNNNNNNNNNNNNNNNNNNNNNNNNNNNNNNNNNNNNNNNNNNNNNNNNNNNNNNNNNNNNNNNNNNNNNNNNNNNNNNNNNNNNNNNNNNNNNNNNNNNNNNNNNNNNNNNNNNNNNNNNNNNNNNNNNNNNNNNNNNNNNNNNNNNNNNNNNNNNNUAGCAAAGCAAUCAAUAGGGAACUACUCGGAUAAACCGAUGUGUGUCUUGAAGCCCCUGGAAAUCAAGUCGCGCCCUGUUCUAAAUCAUAUGUGUCUCGACCGGGGGCUGGCUACCAGCUUCAAGAUGAUUCCAAUAAACCUUCGCCGAUAUCAACUUAUCAAAGUGAUCGCCACUAAAGUGCCUUCAAGCAAAAAAGGGCGUUACUAGCAGGUGGAGGCGAAUGUCAUCGGAUUCGAUGAGUAGGCGAUGAUCAAUAACAGGGGGGAUGCAUGAAAGGAGGGCAGCGGCAGGCGUAAACUAGAUGGCCAGAGUUCGGCAUAUUUCCUCCUCGGUCAUCUUUUCUUUUUUCCCAAAUUGUAUCUUUCAAAGUUAUAUAUACAUAGCUUGGAUUAUUAGGUUUGAUCCUUUUAAUGAAUAAAGAUAAAAGACUUGACUGGUCGGGCCAUGUGUACACUCAUGGUGUAUUCUUUUUCCUCUUUCUUGAUUCAUACACCAAGCAUUAUUCUCGCGAUACAAAACCUAGAUGCCUUUACAACACCAUAAAAUUUAAUGGGGCUGCAUUUUGAAGACGAGUCCACCCAAACGCCUUGGCACUAUAUCAUGUCCUCGGCCUCACGUCCUCGGUACUUCACAUUCAUAUGCAUCGAUUUCAAGUUGUGUCAUUGGUCAAUAGCUGGGUUGCCCGGCUCCUGUGCUUAACCCUUAUGUUUCCGCUCUAUCCGACUAGUGGGUAAAGGGAGCACACCCGUGAUUGUUACUUCUGGUUUAACCGGUCAAGUACCUUAGUUGGAGAAAGGCAAAACAUGACUGUCACAACAUGCGUAAAAUGUCGGUGAACCGUAGGCGGUGUUAAACUAUAUAUAGCCAAUGGCGGUUAUCCGAGUAAAACAAAGGACUUUGUUUUUUCAAACAAGUCAAAGUUUGGGUGUUUCGACCUCGGUUGAUCCGAGAACUCAAUAUAUAUUGGGGGGCUAUUAAUUUGCCCCCAAACAAUGCUCCUAAGACUAAGUGUACUCUUUAGCCGUAUGGUCUGAUUGCCUUGUUUCUACUGAUACAACUGCUUCCGGGUACCGAGACGUUGGCUAAUGGUUGCAUAUAAGAAAGAAACACCCUAAGUAGCAUAUACUAAAGGACCGAAGCCGACGACUGGCCAACUACUCCUUGGAAGAGUCAUAGUUGAGUCAAAAUAAGCAUAAAACAUAUAAAGGGAAGGGCAUUUCUCAUUAAAAAUAAAACUUGUCCUUCUACAUAUAUACAUCUCGGCAUAUCCGAGGAAGAAUAUAAAAAAUUGUCAGUCAAGAUUCUCUAGAACCAUGUCUCUCGUGCACUUCCGCUCAGACACCCGAGUAGCUGGCAUCUCCCCAUUAUAGUAGAACCUGGCCUCUCGUUUCUUCCCCUCUGGACAGUGUUGCGCUAUGGGCUCCAGAUCAAGCUUUGUCCACCACGUCUACACGGCCGCAAAUGCCUCUCGAGCACCCUCCAUGCAAGCUGACUGCUUCCGCAGCUUGACUUGGGCGACAACGCCUUUGGAGGCUGAUACGUCUCAGUCAUAAUUUUGAUUGUUUCAUGACAAUAUUCUACAACUUCCACAUACUUUUGGGAACAGUUUAUUUGAUUUAUUGGACAAACAUAUUGAUCCAGUGCCAGUUCAUGUUUGUUGCAUGUUUUUUGUUUCGCAGAAUAUUGUUGGGGAACGUAGUAAUUUCAAAAAAAUUGCUACGCACACGCAAGAUCAUGGUGAUGCAUAGCAACGAGAGGGGAGAGUGUGUCCACGUACCCUCGUAGACCGAAAGCGGAAGCGUUAGCACAACGCGGUUGAUGUAGUCGUACGUCUUCACGAUCCGACCAAUCAAGUACCGAACGCACGGCACCUCCGAGUUCAGCACACGUUCAACUCGAUGACGUCCCUCGAACUCCGAUCCAGCCGAGCUUUGAGGGAGAGUUCCAUCAGCAUGACGGCGUGGUGACAAUGAUGAUGUUCUACCGACGCAGGGCUUCGCCUAAGCACCGCUACAGUAUUAUCGAGGUGGACUAUGGUGGAGGGGGGCACCGCACACGGCUAAAAGAUCAAACGAUCAAUUGUUGUGUCUCCAAGGGGUGCCCCUUCCCCGUUUAUAAAGGAGUGGAGGAGGGGGGAGGGCCGGCCCUCUCUAUGGCGCGCCCUAGGAGGAGUCAUACUCCCACCGGGAGUAGGAUUCCCCCCUUCCAAGUAGUAGGAGUAGGAGUCAAGGAAAGGGGAGAGAGAAGAGAAGGAAGGAGGGGGCGCAGCCCCUCCCCCUAGUCCAAUUCAGCCCCUCCCCCUAGUCCAAUUCGGACUAGGCCUUGGGGGGGCGCCCAGCCUCUCCUCUCUCUUUCCCCUAAAGCCCAAUAAGGCCCAUAUGCUCCCCGGCGAAUUCCCGUAACUCUCCGGUACUCCGAAAAAUACCCGAAUCACUCGGAACCUUUCCGAUGUCCGAAUAUAGUCGUCCAAUAUAUCGAUCUUUACGUCUCGACCAUUUCGAGACUCCUCGUCAUGUCCCCGAUCUCAUCCGGAACUCCGAACUACAUUCGGUACAUCAAAACACAUAAACUCAUAAUAUAACCGUCAUCGAACUUUAAGCGUGCGGACCUUACGGGUUCGAGAACAAUGUAGACAUGACCGAGAUACGUCUCCGGUCAAUAACCAAUGGCGGAACCUGGAUGCUCAUAUUGGCUCCCACAUAUUCUGCGAAGGUCUUUAUCGGUCAAACCGCAUAACAACAUACGUUGUUCCCUUUGUCAUCGGUAUGUUACUUGCCCGAGAUUCGAUCGUCGGUAUCUCAAUACCUAGUUCAAUCUCGUUACCGGCAAGUCUCUUUACUCGUUCUGUAAUACAUCAUCCGCAACUAACUCAUUAGUUGUAAUGCUUGCAAGGCUUAAGUGAUGUGCAUUACCGAGUGGGCCUAGAGAUACCUCUCCGACAAUCGGAGUGACAAAUCCUAAUCUCGAAAUACGCCAACCCAACAAGUACCUUCGGAGACACCUGUAGAGCACCUUUAUAAUCACCCAGUUACGUUGUAACGUUUGGUAGCACACAAAGUGUUCCUCCGGUAAACGGGAGUUGCAUAAUCUCAUAGUCAUAGGAACAUGUAUAAGUCAUGAGGAAAGCAAUAGCAACAUACUAAACGAUCAAGUGCUAAGCUAACAGAAUGGGUCAAGUCAAUCAUAUCAUUCUCCUAAUGAUGUGAUCCCGUUAAUCAAAUGACAACUCAUGUCUAUGGCUAGGAAACUCAACCAUCUUUGAUUAACGAGCUAGUCAAGUAGAGGCAUACUAGUGACACUAUGUUUGUCUAUGUAUUCACACAUGUAUCAAGUUUCCGGUUAAUACAAUUCUAGCAUGAAUAAUAAACAUUUAUCAUGAAAUAAGGAAAUAAAUAAUAACUUUAUUAUUGCCUCUAGGGCAUAUUUCCUUCAGUCUCCCACUUGCACUAGAGUCAAUAAUCUAGUUCACAUCGCCAUGUGAUUUAACAUCAAUAGUUCACAUCACCAUGUGAUUAACACCCAUAGUUCACAUCAUCAUGUGACCAACACCCAAAGGGUUUACUAGAGUCAAUAAUCUAGUUCACAUCACUAUGUAAUUAACACCCAAAGAGUACUAAGGUGUGAUCAUGUUUUGCUUGUGAGAUAGUUUUAGUCAACGGGUCUGUCACAUUCAGAUCCGUAAGUAUUUUGCAAAUUUCUAUGUCUACAAUGCUCUGCACGGAGCUACUCUAGCUAAUUGCUCCCACUUUCAAUAUGUAUCUAGACCGAGACUUAGAGUCAUCUAGAUUAGUGUCAAAACUUGCAUCGACGUAACCCUUUACGACGAACCUUUUGUCACUUCCAUAAUCGAGAAACAUAUCCUUAUUCCACUAAGGAUAAUUUUGACCGCUAUCCAGUGAUCUACUCCUAGAUCACUAUUGUACUCCCUUGCCAAAAUCAGUGUAGGGUAUACAAUAGAUCUGGUACACAGCAUGGCAUACUUUAUAGAACCUAUGGCCGAGGCAUAGGGAAUGACUUUCAUUCUCUUUCUAUCUUCUGUCGUGGUCGGGCUUUGAGUCUUACUCAAUUUCACACCUUGUAACACAGGCAAGAAACUCUUUCUUUGACUGUUCCAUUUUGAACUACUUCAAAAUCUUGUCAAGGUAUGUACUCAUUGAAAAAACUUAUCAAGUGUCUUGAUCUAUCUCUAUAGAUCUUGAUGCUCGUAAGCAGCUUCACCGAGGUCCUUCUUUGAAAAACUCCUUUCAAAUACUCCUUUAUGCUUUGCAGAAUAAUUCUACAUUAUUUCCGAUCAACAAUAUGCCAUUCACAUAUACUUAUCAGAAAUGCUGUAGUGCCCACUCACUUUCUUGUAAAUACAGGCUUCACCGCAAGUCUGUAUAAAGCUAUAUGCUUUGACCAACUUAUCAAAGCAUAUAUUCCAACUCUGAGAUGCUUGCACCAGUCCAUAGAUGGAUCGCUGGAGCUUGCAUAUUUUGUUAGCACCUUUAGGAUUGACAAAACCUUUUGGUUGCAUCAUAUACAACUCUUCUUUAAGAAAUCCAUUAAGGAAUGUAGUUUCGACAUCCAUUUGCCAGAUUUCAUAAAAUGUGGCAAUUUGCUAACAUGAUUCGGACAGACUUAAGCAUCGCUAUGAGUGAGAAAAUCUCAUCGUAGUCAACACCUUGAACUUUGUCAAAAACCUUUUUCCGACAAGUCUAGCUUUGUAGAUAGUAACACUACUAUCAGCGUCCGUCUUCCUCUUGAAGAUCCAUUUAUUUUCUAUGGCUUGCCGAUCACCGGGCAAGUCAACCAAAGUCCACAGUUUGUUCUCAUACAUGGAUCCCAUCUCAGAUUUCAUGGCCUCAAGAUAUUUUGCGGAAUCUGGGCUCAUCAUCGCUUCCUCAUAGUUCGUAGGUUCGUCAUGGUCAAGUAACAUGACCUCCAAAACUGGAUUACCGUACCACUCUGGUGCGGAUUUCAUUCUGGUUGACCUACGAGGUUCGGUAGUAACUUGAUCUGAAGUUACAUGAUCAUCAUCAUUAGCUUCCUCACUAAUUGGUGUAGGAGUCACAGGAACAGAUUUCUGUGAUGAACUACUUUCCAAUAAGGGAGCAGGUACAGUUACCUCAUCAAGUUCUACUUUCCUCCCACUCACUUCUUUCGAGAGAAACUCCUUCUCUAGAAAGGAUCCAUUCUUAGCAACGAAUGUCUUGCCUUCGGAUCUGUGAUAGAAGGCGUACCCGAUUGUCUCCUUUGGGUAUCCUAUGAAGACACAUUUCUCCGAUUUGGGUUUGAGCUUAUCAGGAUGAAACUUUUUCUUAUAAGCAUCGCAACCCCAAAUUUUAAGAAACGACAACCUUGGUUUCUUGCCAAACCACAGUUCAUACGGUGUCGUCUGAAACGGAUUUAGAUGGUGCCCAUUUUUACGUGAAUGCAGUUGUCUCUAAUGCAUAACCCCAAAACUAUAGUGGUAAAUCUGUAAGAAACAUCAUAGAUUGCACUAUAUCCAAUAAAGUACGGUUAUGACGUUCGGACACACCAUUAUGCUGUGGUGUUCCAGGUGGCACGAAUUUGUGAAACUAUUCCACAUUGUUUUAAUUGAAGACCAAACUCGUAACUCAAAUAUUUGUCUCCGCGAUCAGAUCGUAGAAACCUUAUUUUCUUGUCACGAUGAUUUUCCACUUCACUCUGAAAUUCUUUGAACUUUUCAAAUGUUUCAGACUUAUGUUUCAUCAAGUAGAUAUACCCAUAUCUGCUCAAAUCAUUUGUGAAGGUCAGAAAAUAACGAUACCCGCCGCGAGCCUCAACACUCAUCGGAUCGCAUACAUCAGUAUGUAUUAUUUCCAAUAAGUCAGCUGCUCGCUCCAUUGUUCCGGAGAACGGAGUCUUAGUCAUCUUGCCCAUAAGGCAUGGUUCGCAAGCACCAAGUGAUUCAUAAUCAAGUGAUUCCAAAAGCCCAUCAGCAUGGAGUUUCUUCAUGCGCUUUACACCAAUAUGACCUAAAUGGCAGUGCCACAAAUAAGUUGCACUAUCAUUAUUAACUUUGCAUCUUUUGGCUUCAAUAUUAUGAAUAUGUGUAUCACUACGAUCGAGAUCCAACGAACCAUUUUCAUUGGGUGUGUAACCAUAUAAGGUUUUAUUCAUGUAAAUAGAACAACAAUUAUUCUCUAACUUAAAUGAAUAACCGUAUUGCAAUAAACAUGAUCAAAUCAUAUUCAUGCUCAACGCAAACACCAAAUAACACUUAUUUAGGUUCAACACUAAUCCCGAAAGUAUAGGGAGUGUGCGAUGAUGAUCAUAUCAAUCUUGGAACCACUUCCAAUACACAUCGUCACUUCAUCCUUAACUAGUUUAUGUUCAUUAUGCAACUCCCGUUUCGAGUUACUACUCUUUAGAAACUGAACCAGUAUCAAAUACCGAGGGGUUGCUACGAACACUAGUAAAAUACACAUCAAUAAUCUGUAUAUCAAAUAUACCUUUUUUCACUUUGCCAUCCUUCUUAUCCACCAAAUACUUGGGGCAGUUCCGCUUCCAGUGACCAGUCCCUUUGCAGUAGAAGCACUUAGUCUCAGGCUUAGGUCCAGACUUGGGCUUCUUCACUUGAGUAGCAACUUGCUUGCCGUUCUUCUUGAAGUUCCCCUUCUAUCCCUUUGCCCUUUUCUUGAAACUAGUGGUCUUGUUAACCAUCAACACUUGAUGCUCUUUCUUGAUUUCUACCUUCAUCGAUUUCAGCAUCGCGAAGAGCUCGGGAAUUACUUUCGUCAUCCCUUGCAUACUAUAGUUCAUCACGAAGUUCUACUAACUUGGUGAUGGUGACUAGAGAAUUCUGUCAAUCACUAUUUUAUCUGGAAGAUUAACUCCCACUUGAUUCAAGCGAUUGUAGUACCCAGACAAUCUGAGCACAUGCUCACUGCUUGAGCUAUUCUCCUCCAUCUUUUAGCUAUAGAACUUGUUGGAGACUUCAUAUCUCUCAACUCGGGUAUCUGCUUGAAAUAUUAACUUCAACUCCUGGAACAUCUCAUAUGGUCCAUGACGUUCAAAACGUCUUUGAAGUCCCGAUUCUAAGCCGUUAAGCAUGGUGCACUAAACUAUCAAGUUGUUAUCAUACCGAGCUUUGUCAAACGUUCAUAACGUCUGCAUCUGCUCCUGCAAUAGGUCUGUCGCCUAGCGGUGCAUCAAGGACAUAAUUCUUCUGUGCAGCAAUGAGGAUAAUCCUCAGAUCACGGAUCCAAUCCGCAUCAUUGCUACUAACAUCUUUCAACAUAAUUUUUCUCUAGGAACAUAUCAAAAUAAACAUAGGGAAGCAAGAACGCGAGCUAUUGAUCUACAACAUAAUUUGCAAAAUACUAUCAGGACUAAGUUCAUGAUAAAUUUAAGUUCAAUUAAUCAUAUUACUUAAGAACUCCCACUUAGAUAGACAUCCCUCUAAUCUUCUAAGUGAUCACGUGAUCCAUAUCAACUAAACCAUGUCCGAUCAUCACGUGAGAUGGAGUAGUUUCAAUGGUGAACAUCACUAUGUUGAUCAUAUCUACUAUAUGAUUCACGCUCGACCUUUCGGUCUCAGUGUUCCGAGGCCAUAUCUGUUAUAUGCUAGGCUCGUCAAGUUUAACCUGAGUAUUCCGCGUGUGCAGCUGUUUUGCACCCGUUGUAUUUGAACGUAGAGCCUAUCACACCCGAUCAUCACGUGGUGCCUCAGCACGAAGAACUUUCGCAACGGUGCAUACUCAGGGAGAACACUUGUACCUUGAUAAUUAGUGAGAGAUCAUCUUAUAAAGCUACCGGCGAACUAAGCAAAAUAAGAUGUAUAAAAGAUAAACAUCACAUGCAAUCAAAAUAUGUGACAUGAUAUGGCCAUCAUCAUCUUGUGCCUUUGAUCUCCAUCUUCAAAGCAUCGUCAUGAUUUCCAUCGUCACCGGCAUGACACAAUGAUCUCCAUAAUCUUGAUCUAUAUCAAUGUGUCGUCACAUGGUCGUCUCGCCAACUAUUGCUCUUGCAACUAUUGCUAUCGCAUAGCGAUAAAGCAAAGCAAUUAUUUGGCGCUUGCAUCUUAUGCAAUAAAGAGACAACCAUAAGGCUUCUGCCAGUUGCCGAUAACUUCAACAAAACAUGAUCAUCUUAUACAACAACUUAUAUCUCAUCGCGUCUUGACCAUAUCACAUCACAACAUCCCCUGCAAAAACAAGUUAGACGUCCUCUAAUUUGUUGUUGCAAGUUUUACGUGGCUGCUACGAUGUUCUACCGACGCAGGGCUUCGCCUAAGCACCGCUACAGUAUUAUCGAGGUGGACUAUGGUGGAGGGGGGCACCGCACACGGCUAAAAGAUCAAACGAUCAAUUGUUGUGUCUCCAAGGGGUGCCCCCUUCCCCGUAUAUAAAGGAGUGGAUGAGGGGGGAGGGCCGGCCCUCUCUAUGGCGCGCCCUAGGAGUAGUCCUACUCCCACCGGGAGUAGGAUUCCCCCCUUCCAAGUAGUAGGAGUAGGAGUCAAGGAAAGGGGAGAGAGAAGAGAAGGAAGGAGGGGGCGCAGCCCCUCCCCCUAGUCCAAUUCAGCCCCUCCCCCUAGUCCAAUUCGGACUAGGCCUUGGGGGUGGCGCCCAGCCUCUCCUCUCUCUUUCCCCUAAAGCCCAAUAAGGCCCAUAUACUCCCCGGCGAAUUCCUGUAACUCUCCGGUACUCCGAAAAAUACCCGAAUCACUCGGAACCUUUCCGAUGUCCGAAUAUAGUCGUCCAAUAUAUCGAUCUUUACGUCUCGACAAUUUCGAGACUCCUCGUCAUGUCCCCGAUCUCAUCCGGGACUCCGAACUACCUUCGGUACAUCAAAACACAUAAACUCAUAAUAUAACUGUCAUCGAACUUUAAGCGUGCGGACCCUACGGGUUCGAGAACAAUGUAGACAUGACCGAGAUACGUCUCCGGUCAGUAACCAAUAGCGGAACCUGGAUGCUCAUAUUGGCUCCCACAUAUUCUACGAAGAUCUUUAUCGGUCAAACCGCAUAACAACAUAUGUUGUUCCCUUUGUCAUCGGUAUGUUACUUGCCCGAGAUUCGAUCGUCGGUAUCUCAAUACCUAGUUCAAUCUCGUUACCGGCAAGUCUCUUUACUCGUUCUGUAAUACAUCAUCCGCAACUAACUCAUUAGUUGCAAUGCUUGCAAGGCUUAAGUGAUGUGCAUUACCGAGUGGGCCCAUAGAUACCUCUCCGACAAUCGGAGUGACAAAUCCUAAUCUCGAAAUACGCCAACCCAACAAGUACCUUCGUAGACACCUGUAGAGCACCUUUAUAAUCACCCAGUUACGUUGUAACGUUUGGUAGCACACAAAGUGUUCCUCCGGUAAACGGGAGUUGCAUAAUCUCAUAGUCAUAGGAACAUGUAUAAGUCAUGAAGAAAGCAAUAGCAACAUACUAAAUGAUCAAGUGCUAAGCUAACGGAAUGGGUCAAGUCAAUCAUAUCAUUCUCCUAAUGAUGUGAUCCCGUUAAUCAAAUGACAACUCAUGUCUAUGGCUAGGAAACUCAACCAUCUUUGAUUAACGAGCUAGUCAAGUAGAGGCAUACUAGUGACAUUAUGUUUGUCUAUGUAUUCACACAUGUAUCAAGUUUCCGGUUAAUACAAUUCUAGCAUGAAUAAUAAACAUUUAUCAUGAAAUAAGGAAAUAAAUAAUAACUUUAUUAUUGCCUCUAGGGCAUAUUUCCUUCAAAUAUCCAUAUCAAAUGAAGUCCAAACGCGAUAAAAAUUUACGGAGAUUUAUUUUGGAAUAUCUGUGAUUUUUUGGAAAAAGAAUCAACACGAGAAGAUACCCGAGGGGCCCACAAGCUCGAGAGGCAUGCCCCUUACCCUGGGCGCGGCUAGCAAGCUUGUGGGGCCCCUGUAAGGUAGUUGGUGCCCUUCUUUCGCCGCAAGAAAGAUAAUAUUCAGAAGAAAAUCGUGUUAAAAGUUUAGGCCAAUCGGAGUUACGUAUCUCCAUAAAUUUAAGAAAGGGUGAAAGGCCAGAAAACGAAAACGCAGAAACAGAAGAGAACAGAGAGAGAUCCAUCUCGGAGGGGCCCCUCCACCGCCAUGGAGGCCAUGGACCAGAGGGAAACCCUCCUCCCAUCUAGGGAGGAGGUCAAUGAAGCAGAAGACUGAGGGGGGGCUCUCUCCCCCUCUCUCCCGGUGGCGCCGAAAUGCCGCCGGGGCCAUCAUCAUGACGACGAUCUACACCAACAACUUCGUCGCCGUCAUCACCAACUCUCCCCCUCUAUGCAGCGGUGUAACACGUCUUCUCCCCACUGUAAUCUCUACUUAAACAUGGUGGCCAACGCUUUAUAUUAUUAUCCAAUGAUAUGUGGCUAUCCUAUGAUGUUUGAGUAGAUUAGUUUUUUCCUAUGGGUUGAUUGAUGAUCACGAUUGGUUUGAAUUGUAUGUUUUAUUAUUGGCGCUGUCCUAUGGUGCUCUCUGUGUCGCACAAGUGUGAGGGAUCCCUGCUGCAGGGUGUUGCAAUAUGUUCAUGAUUUGCUUAUGGUGGGUGGCGUGAGUGACAGAAGCACAUACCCGAGUAAGUGGGUUGUUGCGUAUGGGAGUAAAGAGGACUUGAUACUUAAUGCUAUGGUUGGGUUUUACCUUAAUGGCCUUUGGUAGUUGCGGAUGCUUGCUAGAGUUCCAAUCGUAAGUGCAUAUGAUCCAAGUAGAGAAAGUAUGUUAGCUCAUGCCUCUCCCUCAUACUACCUCCGUCCCAAAAUAUAAGAACAUUUUUAACACUAGUCUAGUGUUAAAAACGUUCUUAUAUUUUGGGAUGGAGGGAGUAUAAAAUUGCAAUAAUGAUUACCGGUCUAGUGAUCGAUUGCCUAGGGACAAAUAACUUUCUUGUGACAAAAAGCUCUCUACUAAAAUUAACUUAAUUGUUUCUUUAUCUAAAUAGCCCCUAGCUUUUAUUUGCAUGUUCUUUAUUAUCUUGCAAACCUAUCCCUUUACACCUACAAAGUACUUCUAGUUUCAUACUUGUUCUAGGUAAAGCAAACAUUAAGCGCGUAGAGUUGUAUCGGUGGUCGAUAGAAAUUGAAGGGAAUAUAAAUUCUACCUUUACCUCCUCGUUGGGUUCGACACUCUUACUUAUCGAGAAAGGCUACAAUUGAUCCCCUAUACUUGUGGGUUAUCAAGACCUUUUUCUGGCGCCGUUGCCGAGGAGCAAUAGUGUGAGGUGAAUAUUCUCGUGUGUGCUUGUUUGCUUUAUCACUAAGUAGAUUUUAUUUUCCGUUUUAAGUUGUUCUCUCUCUUUAGUUGUGGAUACGGAACACGAAAUACCAAAAAAAAAUAGGUCUACUUGCUACUCAUAGGGAUGGGGAACCUCCUAAAACCCUCGAUGCUUGUUAUGUGAAAAAUAUUAAACACUACUUUGAUAAUCCAGAGAAAACCCCAUUGAACAUGAUAAUGGGAGACACGUUGUAUCAAUGUGAAUACUUUAGGGAUUAUCGCUAGACUCAAAAAGGGAAACUCUUAUGGGAUCAAACUGAGAUGUUACAAUGGUAUGGUUGGAAUUUAUGCUUGAGAUAUGGUUAUACUUGCUGCUCUAGGAUGAAGGCUCCACACCUUUCCUUUUCAUGUGAAUUUAAUAAUAAUGAAACCUUGGCUUCUUAUGCUAAUGGUAGAUAUGAUUACUAUGAUGUGGAACGAAUAGAAGAAUUUUUUGCUUUUAAGGGUGUGCCUAUGAGAUUGAAUCUUUGUUUAAAAAGUAUGAAGAUUUUGAUGAUGUUGUUUAUAGACCUGGAAAUUUUGCUAUACUUAAAUAUUGUCAUGAGAAUUACAAAUACAAUCAUGAUAUUGAUGAUUUUAUUGAGAAAGUCUCCGCUAUCCAAGAAGAGACUAAUAUUUUGCUGGAAUCUAUGGAAGAAGAAAUUGAUGACACUGUGAGCUCGUUGGAUGAAAAAGAUGAGGAGGAGGAGAGCGAAGAACAAAAGGAGGAAGAGCGGAUUGAUCACCCGUUCCCACCUUCUAAUGAGACUAACUUUUCAACUCAUACAUUGUUUAAUUUCCCUUCAUGCUUACCGAAGGAUGAAUGCUAUGAUAAUUGCUAUGAUCCCUUGGAUUCGUUUGAAAUAUCCCUUUUUGAUGAAAUUGAUGCUUUGCUAUGCUUGUGGCCAAGAUGCCAAUUUGAAUUAUUCUUAUGGAGAUGAACUUGCUAUAGUUCCUUAUGUUAAACAUGAGAUUGUUGUUAUUUCACCCACACAUGAUAGUCCUAUAAUCUUUUCGAAUUCUCCCAACUACACUAUAUCGGAGAAGUUGGCGCUUAUUAAGGAUUAUAUUGAUGGGUUGCGUUUUACCAUUACACAUGAUGAUUUUGAUAGAUAUAAUAUUCAUGUGCAUGAUGCUCCUACUUGCAAUUAUUAUGAGAGAGGAACUACAUCUCCACCUCUCUAUGUUUCCAAUACAAUAAAAUUGCAAGAAACUAUUUAUGCUAUGUACGGCCUUUACUAUGUGUGCAUGAAUUGUUCUUUUAUGACAUGCCGAUGCAUAGGAAGAGUGUUAGACUUCGUUGUUGCAUGAUAUAUAUAUAUAUAUAUAUAUAUAUAUAUAUAUAUAUAUAUAUAUAUAUAUAUAUUACUUUUUGCUCAUUACUAAAAUACAAAAUCAUUGUUAAUUAAAAUUGGCUUUGAUAUACCUUGGGAUCCGGGUGGAUCAAUUACUUGAGCACUUUAUGCCUAGCUUAAUGGCUUUAAAGAAAGCGCUGCCAGGGAGACAACCCGGAAGUUUUAGAGAGUCAUUUACUUCUGUUGUGUGCUUUUAUAAAGUUUAAAAACAAAAAAAAUAGAGGGGAACUUAAAAACUUUUUCGAAAAGAGAAGCGAUUGGAAGGUUAUGCAUUGGAGAAGUGAGGGUCGACCUUGAACACUUGUGUUCAUGCUCAUGGAAACAAAGUAGAAUUUUUCAUGGAGGUUUCUCACAAAAAUAAUUAUCCCCUUGUACAGAACCAUUGUAUUAUAAAAAUAAUGUGCCAAGAUUUGCCUUUAGGAUGAUUACAUUGCUUGUUUGGUAUGUGCAGUGCAAAAACAGAAAGUUUGGCUGUAGUGCGUGAAUUUAUAAUUUUUUUACUGGAACGUCAAAAGUUUCUAAAAAAUUUACACAGUAAUUUCAUGCAAUUUUUUAUUUUGUCCUAAUUUUUCAGAAUGUUUAUAUUUAUAGAACUAUGGUCAAUGUUCAGAUUACUACAGACUGUCUUGUUUUUGACAGAUUCUAUUUUUUGAUGCAUUGUUUUGCUUGUUUUGAUGGAACUAUGGAUUGUAUCGUUGGUAUAAGCCAUGGAUAAAUUAGAGCAUAGUAGUUAUAAUGCAAAAAUAAAAUAUGAAUGGGUUUGCAGCAGCACUUAAAGUAGUGAUUUGCUUUAUUAUACUAACGGAUCUCACGAGGGUUUUGUUAAGUUUUGUGUGAUUGAAGUUUUCAAGUUUUUGGUGGGAUCGGGAUGGAUCAAGGAAUAAGGAGUGGCAAGAGCCUAAUCUUGGGGAUGCCUGAGGCACCUGAAGGUAAUAUUCAAGGACUCCCAAGCAAGUAAUCUUGGGGAUGCUACAGAAGGCAUCCCCUCUUUCUUCUAACGACCAUCGGUAAUUUUACUUGGAGCUAUAUUUUUAUUCGUCACAUGAUAUGCGUAAAUUAUUGUAGUGUCUUUUGUGUUUAUUGUUCCCUUUUCUUUUAUGCACCAUGUUGUUGUGAGAUACUCCUUGGUUGAUUUAUAGAAUGCUUCUCCCUCAUAUAAAAUUGCAAUAAUGACUACCGGUCUAGUUAUCGAUUGUGUAGGGACAAAUAACUUUCUUGUGACAAAAAGCUCUCUACUAAAACUAACUUAAUUGUUUCUUUAUCUAAACAACCUAGCUUUUAUUUGUGUGUUCUUUAUUAUCUUGGAAACCUAUCCCUUUACACCUAGAAAGUACUUCUAGUUUCAUAAUUGUUCUAGGUAAAGCAAACGUUAAGCAUGCGUAGAGUUGUAUCGGUGGUCGAUAGAACUUGAAGGGAAUAUAAAUUCUACCUUUACCUUCUCGUUGGGUUCGACACUCUUACUUAUCGAGAAAGGAUACAAUUGUUCCCCUAUACUUGUGGGUUAUCAGAGGCGCUGAACCAGCCCAAAGAAGUUGGUCGGCAGAGGGGAGUUCGGCCAUAGAGAGAUACGUAAAUCCUCCAUGGCAGGCUUGGUUGUUCGGUGGAGCUCGGCAAGCUGCUUCAUCUGGUCGCCGAGGAGUCGAGGGUGCUGCUCCUACUAGAAUUGCAUCCAGAAGCCUUCUAUUCAGCCGUGUCCUAUUGGCAAAGUACUAGCACGCAUGCUCGACAUUGCGUAGAAGUUCCGAGAAGGCGCUUGAUAAGCGAGAAUUUUGCGUCAGCUCGAAGAAUGCUUGAUUGCUGAAGAUAUACUGUAGUAAAUACAGCUUACCGAAAGCAAUAUUUGUCACCUCUGAAGUUCCUCCUUCGCCGCUUUAGCAAGGGAGGAAGCCUCUUGAUGUUCUGCCGCAAGCUUUUUGAGCUUGGCGACAUCCUUCUUCUUCGAGGCCUUCAGCGCUUCACUUUCAGUAAACACGCUCUUUAGGUCCUCCUCAAUCUCAGAAAACCGAGCUUGAGCAUCUCGCCGAGUCUUUUGUUCCUCAGCAAGCUCUUUGGUACUUUCCAGCACCGCAGCCUUUUGUUGCUCAGUUCGACCAAGCCUUGUCAAGCUCGGCCCACUAUAUGGCGAGGUCCUUCUUGGUCGCUACCAAAAUUCAAAGGUGGAGUCAGACCAAUAAAUAGAAUUGUUUGGUAGUUAAAUAAAUAGUAAGUGCACCAAAUUUUGACCUUGCGCUUUCUCCAUCUGCUGUUGGAGCAGAUGUAAAUCCUCCUUGGAUCGUGCUAGCUUGCGAUUCAUUUCCUCCAACUCUGCUAAGUUGGAGGUAGAGGACGAGGUGGAAGCCUGCGUGAAAAAGCAAAUAGCUGAUAAGAGUUCAAGCAUAAGGAUCGAUCCUCUAGUCGGCUUUUUCAAUCCGACCAAGAGUCUUAGGGGCUACUGCAUAUUCGCGUUACUUAAAGAUAAAAAAACAUCAACCCUCAAGCCAGUUUGGGUAAACUAACUAAAGGCUCGGCAGCUACUACAUCUGCACUUUCAAAAGAUAGAAUCUCAUGCAUGAUUUCAAGAUAUAAGAUCUAUGUAUUUCAGACGAUGUUAACAUUCUCCUUGAGGGCUAUUGGCUAAACUUACUAUAUUAUUCAAGCAAUGAAAACAAGAGAAAAAAACAAAAUUACUUAAAAUGUGCUUAUCUCAAAACCUUUGCAAGGCUGAUGAAAACUUCCAGAUUGUUGGCCUCAGCUGACUGGAAUGUUGGGAGUCCCGGGCCAAGUAUGGCAUGGUGAUCGGGUAGGAGGGAGGAACUGCUUAGAGCCGCCUCCACCUGCCGUCUGUGGCCUGGAAGCUCGGCCCCUCCAGGGCCGAGCACGGGUAAUGACGUCCUCCCUGCAUCAUCCUCUGUUGAUGGGGCAAGGGGUGUUCCUGGUAGGCCCUGUGACUUUGAGUCAUCGGGGCCGAGGAUGCUGGGCACUAGGGUGCCAGCUUUUCUUGACCAGGGGGAGUUUGCCUCCCCCAGUUCCCCGUGUUCUCCUCUACAGAUGAUGAUUUAACCUCGGCUAUAAGGACUUUGGUCACUCCCCCGUCCUUGGGUGUUGGAGGAACAGAGUGAGAAAUGGCCUCCCCCAACCCGCCUUGGGCAAGGGGAGGAUCAGCUGAUGCAUCCCAGGAUCUCCGGGCCAGUGAAGCCAUUAGAGCUCCAUCAUCGGAGUCAUCCUUGCUAGGCAGUUUGUGCUGGGGGCUAUGAAAGACAAGUAAAAUUCAUGGGCUAAAGGCGUCUUUCAAGUUAAAGUGGAUAUGAGUAUUAAGAAGGUUAAAUACCUUUCAGGAUCCGGAUGCUCCCUAUGAUGGCAGACUCCUUUGGUUGAGCCCGAGCUGACCGUCUCCACGGGCGCUGACGCCUGGCCCGUUGGAGCUGUACGGGCCUUUCUCGGAUGCAUGAACGUUCAACGAGGCUUGAAAUCCUUAGAUGCCCAUCUUUUCUCGCCUUUGGAGAAGUGCACCUCGAUCUCCUCCUUUUCGUCCUCCUCCUCAUCAGACUCGGAGUGAGAACUCUGAUGACUAUAUGUGAAAGAAUCUGAGGUGCCUUCUCGGAUGACCAUGUUCUUUGUCCUAUUCUUCCUUUCCUCCUUCGUCUUGACCGGGACCUCAUAAGGGUCCUCAGAAAGUAUCUUCUCGAGCUCGGGGGUCCUGGGACCUUCUAGGAGCGGUGUCGGGGACUUCAUCUUCUCGGCCCGCGCAUACCAAGCCUGUAUGAAAGGCAUAAAGUUGACCCCUCGGUUAAACAGAGGAUAGGUGGUGGAAUUAGUUAGUAAAUUGCAAAUAAAAGUUACCUUGACCAUGGGGUUUGCAUGGCUUAGUACAAUGUCUGUGUCCCUGGAUGGGAAGGUGUUCUUCUUGGGCUUGAACAAGAGCUUGCACAUCCCGCCGAAGUCAUUUCCUCGAAAGAACUGUUGGAUCACCGCUUUGUCCUCUGGCUUAUACCUUCACAUCGGAGUAGCUCGGACCUGGAGGGGAAGAAUUUGGCGAUGGAGCAUCACAUGGACUACGUCCACCAGAGUGAUACCUGUGCCCACAAUGGCUUUGAGCUUGUCCUGGAGCACCUUCACCUCCUUUUGGUCCCCUAGUUGAGAUUCUUGUCAGUCCAGAGUGCAGCCUCCUCGACGGCUUCGAUGAGAAGGUAGGGACCUCUGGCCAUACGAUAUUGGGGAUCUUACUGAUCAUGGCCUCGCCACACUUAGGAAGUUUAGACUUGCUGCUAUGCGGCUUGAUGCUGAAUACCUUCAGCCAUAGCCCAAAAUGGGGCUUGAUGCAAAGGAAGGCUUCGCAAAAAUUUAUAAAGGUGGCAAUAUGAAGGUUGGAAUUUGGGUCUAGAUGAUGAAAAUCUAGCCCAUAGAAAAACAGAAGUCCCCUGAGAAAGGGGUGAAGAGGAAGUCCUAGACCUCAGAUCGGGUGGGAGAUGAAGGCCACCCACUCCCCUUUCCAGGGAGAAGGGAUGGCGGAAGCUGAGCGGACUUCACUCGUAUGCAUCGGGGAUCAACAUUUGGCCAUGAUGGGAAGGUACCCAUCGGCUUGGAGCUCGGUGAUGGUACCAACGGUGACGUUGGAAUGCUGCCAUUGCCCCCUCGUACUGGCGGCCUCAGACGCCAAAGCGAUGGGCCCCUUUCCCUUGCCGGCCAUCUCUCGCGAUGGAGAAGAACGUGGGGAGAAACUUGAACUAGAAACGGAUCUCGAAGCGCUUGAGCUUAUGGGAGUUCUAGGCGAUGGAGCAGGGAAUGAGAGCAUAUGUAAAAUCUAAUUACCGUUCCCCUUUCAUAGGUCAGUAAAAGGCCAAGGGCCUCCACGCCGCACAGUAAAAAUCGCCAGUUCCCAACAUAUCCUAUAGUAUAUGCAUGCAAGGAUUAAGGGAUUUUAUUGAUGAUAUUGCUAGAAAUCUGAAGCUUGAUCUUUUUAUUGAUGGGAUGUGCCAAUAGAAAUGGCCUCGGGGCACGACAUGCCCAAUAAUAAAUAUUGACAAGACGAUUCAGCUCUGUGAUGAGUGGUGAUGGUUCGGUUCUCAGCCGAUUCCAUCACUACAUUUGACCACCACAAAUGCCCAAAGAUUUGGACCAUAUCCUGAAAUUUUUGAGACUAAAAUGUAUGGGUGGAAAAUAUACUUCCUUCACAAAGUGAUUUGGUGGAAUUUUUUGGGGGAAUUUGUGGAGGGAGUUGCAGGAAUUCGGUGAGGCUAAAAAUUUCUUGAUAGACUUUAUGGCUAGGUUUGGAUGCAUGCAAAAUUUCUGCUUCAUAGGACUAAGACACAAUGUAAUUGCUUCACGGGUCACGGAUCUGUCAAAAACUCUGAAUGGAUGGUCUAGUUAACAUUUUGUUUAUAGGUCUUGGUUUGAGGGUGGAAGUGGUUCAAGAUAUUUGUAGGAUAAUCUCUACAAAUAAUUUGGGGGUUUGUGGUGCAAGGGAAAAUGUAGCUCCUUCACAAAGCUUCAACUAGAACAGGAAUUUGGAACAUUUGUGGGUGGACAAUAUUGCAUAAGACAUGGCAAUAUUUUGUGGAUGUGUUGCUGGUAGGUAUUGGUUAGUCUCUAAAAAAAUUUGUGAGGCCAAAAUGUCAAAGGAAAAAGGAUGCCUAGUGCAAAAAUGGUCUCUAGGAUUUAAUUCAAAAGAAAUUGAAAUUGGGGUUUUAGAGAUAAAAUGUUGGGGCAAAGUAACAAGGCAAGUUCAUCAUAAAUAUAUACACACCAAGUUUAAGAAAAUCCAAGAACACCAUAAGAAAAAGGAAGAAGCUAAAACUCAAAACUUGCAAAAAGAAUUUUCAAGGAGUGAAAAUCCAGGGUUUGAAAAAUAUGAUGAAGGUGAAAUAUGUCGGUAUCCACGUAGUUAGGUUAAGAUCAUUUUGUUUUUCCUCGAGAGGAAGGGAAAAAUAAUAGCUCUUAUCUCAUCCGAGAGGCAACAACACAAUUUGUGAAAUACUUUAUAAUUUUGUAAGACUAAACUUGUCCCUCCCAUGAAAACGAUGCAACUUCGUUCAGCUGGUACAUGUUUCCUUCAGGUAGAGUGUGAACUGCUCGCAAUAGCAUCGGACAGGAUGAAGCAAGUCAUCGGGAACUGUCCCAGUCAUGGAAUGCACGACUGGUUAGCCUUUCAAACCUUCUAUAUUGAUUUAAAUUGCAUAUCCAAGAAUAUGCUCUAUAUGCAUGCAAGCGGUGCAUUAAUUGGACCAUGAUUUUCAGAAGCUAAGAAAAUGAUAGACUAUUUGACAUAAAACCAUGAACAGUGAAUGUGGAGAGAUCGUCCUCGACAACGAAAGGUAAAUAAUUAUCAGAAGCCAUACGCUAAACAUGUAGGUAAUCCCAUUGGCUACAACAAUGGAAAUAGAAAUGGCAAUCACCAAAGCCUAGAUUAGACAUUAAAAAUCUGGCACUACUCAAACUGAGAAAAAUAAUUCCUUUUUUGAACUAAUUAGAACUCAUGACUCAUGGUCAAGUCAAAUGGCCAGGAAAAUUGGUUACACAUCUCAGUUGAAGAACUUGCAGGAAAUGAGUCGUAAUAUCAAAGUCCAAAUCAGUAAAAUCGCUGAGAUUCAGGCCCUAUUUGUUUCAGCUUCGAUUUCUGCCAAAUCAACCAUCGAUUUGCUUAACUAGCAAUCAGCUUUGCCACUGAAUUACACCAGGACAUCCUUCAGGAAAAUACACUGAAAAUGGCCUAAAUUGGAUUCGGGCUUCACUAUCAAAGUUAAUUCAAAAUAGUUGUUUGCUUCAAAUUCCAAAGAUGAAUCUGGUCCCAAAAGUUGAAACAAAUAGGGCCUCAGACUUUCGCUCUAGCCAAGUUUGCUAGGAAGCCUAAGCCGAAACCGGUGGAGUCACUGAAGAUACUGAAUGCAAACAAAGAUCUCUCUGGGUAAGAAUUGGAGUACAAAGAGUCACCAACCUUCGGAUACUCUGCUAAGAUUUUGUUAGCAAGAUGAUUCUGUAGCAGCCAAUAAUAAAAAUCCAAGAAGACGAGGAUACCAAGAUUUCAUAAAGAGAGUUACUAUGGAUGUCAGAUACGAGUACUGCUCCCAUCACUGAACUAACUCAAGUUUUUUCUUUUUUUUCUCAACAAGCAUAUUAAAUAACUAGUCCUUUGAUACAACGCUAGAGGCAAAUUUAUUAAAAAUUGAAAGGGGAGUACAAGCCAGAAUUGGUAAAGUAAGCCCCACAUAAAUUCGAGAAUCACUAUCACAAACAUAAGGAUCCAUGCUGAAUAAGGUAUACCGAUCAUAAAGAUCACAAUAUUCUUAGAUCACACUGAAUAAUAUGUCCUCUCAUCUUUAGAAUCAAGAGCAUGGUCAUUGUCGGAGCUCUCAUAAUAUUACUAGUCGCGGCACUCAUUAUCCCACUUGAGCGUUGUGAUCUUGAUCCUAGUGAAUUCCGCCCGCAAGGCAUGCUCAUCAUUGGAGCCAAUCAAGAAACAAUACUGCAAGCCAAGAACUUCCAGGACAGGGCAGCUCUCAAGGACAGCGGUCAAUUUUCUCACGAUGAGGUCAAUGUUUUCAAGUUCAAGGGAAUGCAGCUCCAGCAGAGGUGACUCUUUUAUAACAUUGGCGAGUUGUUUGCUGAAGACCCCGAAGCAUGAUACAAGCCGAAGGGUAGUCAGUGAGGGUGACCUGCAAACAUUAAUAUUAGGGCAAUCUUUCAUAUGACUGGAUGUGGGGAUGAUGGUGUGAAGUGGAAUUUAUGGUCCUGCUAUAUUAGCAAUAUUUAGACCCCCCCCUCUUUUUAUUCACUUUAUUACUUCUAUUCUAAGCCCUGUCUGGUUUAUUCUUAUGAAAUACCAUAUAAAAUAGAAGGUAUAAUAAAUGGAUAUAAGGAAAUUCCUGACUCAAUCUUAUGACCUAAUUAUUUGAUUAAUGGAUCAGUAACCAAACCACCCAUUUAAUGAAAAGGAAGGAGUGUAGUCUUAUUCAAAUUCAAGGUCCUUCAUAGUAAGCGCUAUAGCAUUGUUUUCAAUACUCAGCGGCUUGGUCAAACCAAGCUUCCCCAAUUUUUUAAUCAACUUGUAGAAUGGUAUAUUCUCCUAGGUCUGAAUAGGUAGUUCCUUCCCUUAUAACCAUACUUAGUGUCUCCUACCUCAUACAAUUCUAAAAUCGUUACAUUAGUUUCCCCUAUCGUAAUUGAAUUUGAUUAAUGAACUUCUAGAGAUCCUGGUGAAUGAAUCAUAGCAUGAUGGACAUCUGAAUUUGCCUAUUGAUAAUUAGCAUACUAUGAGAUAUCCUAUUAUCCAAUAUGUAGAUUGAUACACUUAUUAUCAUGCCUGCACAACAAGAGCAACUAUCACGUCUAAUGAAUGUUCUAAAGAUUUUCCCAGAAUUUACUGGUUUGAAAGUCAACUAGAACAAGUCCUCAUUGGUCCCAAUUAAUAUAUCUGAUGAAAGAGCUAUGUUUGUGGCUAACAUUCUUGGUUGUAAAAAAGAAGUUAUGCCUUUCAUCUAUCUUCAACUCCCUAUGGGUUCUACUAGGCCUAAAGUGGAUGAUCUUAUGUGUAUCAUGUCUAGAAUUGAGAAAAUACUAUCCGGGGUUGCUUCAAAGAUAUCAUACUCUGGUACGUUUGUACAUCUAAAAGCAGUGAUUUCUUCCCUCCCCAUCUUUGUCAUGUGUUGCAUUAGAGUACCUUUAACAAUCCUAUAUACCACUUUCAAAAAGUUGGCAGAAGUUUAUUUGGUAUGAAAAAGGAAUUAAUAAGCAUGGAAAUUGUCUGGUAAAAUGGGAAAGUGUAUGUCCUCCCAAAAAGGUUGGUGGCCUGUGUGUUCUUGAUCUCAGAACACAAAACAGAGCUCUGCUCACCAAAUUCUUAUACAAGUUUUUCAACCAGCAUGGUAUACCUUGGGUUGAGUUUGAUUUGGAAUACAUAUUAUAAUGAUGGUGAGGUGCCUAGCUAUCCCACUAGAGUUGGAUCUCUUUGGUGGAGAGACUAUAGUUCUAUAUUCGAGGAUUUCAAGAACACGAGCAUCUAUAAACCUGCUUCUAGAAACACAGUCAAACUCUGGCUUGAUAAGUGGAAUGAUGAGACUCUUUAGGAAAGAUUCCCACAGUUGUUCUCAUAUGCCAAAGACAUAAACAUCCAUGUGCCAUUGCAUACAACUAUGUUGUUGAUGACUUUUAUGAUAUGUUUCACCUACCAAUCUCAUCCAUUGUUGUCCAACAGAACACAAUAAUGUGGAACAUUUUAAAUGGAAUGAUUAGCAACAAUAGCAAAGACACUUGACACUUCUAUUGGCAUAGCAAUAAAUAUUCCAACAAUAUAAUAUAUCUAGAACUUAUUGGAAAUCUACCUGAUGCUCCAAAGCCUUUCCAAUGGAUAUGGAAAUCAUGCAGUCUUCCUAAAUGGGAUUUUUUCUUUUGGCUACUAUUACAGGACAGGUUAAAUACCAGAGUCUUCUGAUAAGAAAUAACUUCCACAUUGAAACCAAUAAUUGUGUUUUGUGUGAUGAUGAGCCUAAUGAGCACCUUAUCUCUUCUUCAAUUGUGAUUUCAGCCAAUGUUUUUGGCUUGCUCUAGGUUUUGAAUGGAACAGUAACUAUGAUAUUGUAGAGAUACUCAUGGAAGGGAAAGGGAGAUACUCAAUUCACUGUUUCAAAGAAUGCCUCAUUGCUGGCUAUUGGAGUAUUUGGAAGCACAUGAAUAGUAUUUAUUUUGACAACAAGAUCAAAAUAUUGGAAAAAUACAUAUGAUGCUUCAAAUCUCACUUUGAUACAAUCAUCAAGAAGGCCAAGCUAGCUUAAAGGAAUGGAUACAAUGUCCAAGAAGACUAUUUGUGAACCAUUUGUAACAUUCUAUACCUAAUGUAUAGCCAUUUGUACAUGUCCCACAAAUAUUAAUGAAAGAGAGUUACAGUAGGGACUCCCUACUGUUCUUGCUAAAAAAACUGAAUCUGAUUUAGCAAAAACUAAUCCAAUUUGUUGUCGGGUUAAGCAGAAGAUAUUAAUUACCUAAGUGAAUUUUUUUGCUGACACAUCUUUAAUAAGUUAACAAAAUUUUGAGCAUAAUAAAUCAAGUAGUAAUGGAAGAAAAAUACCUUUCCACGAUAUACUUGAUGAGCUCAUCAGUGACAAACAGCCUCCCGGCGAACUCCCUGAGCUGUCCGUCGGAACGGUCGACAGCUGCCUUCGCCAUCUGACACAGGACACCAUCGCCCUUUAGAAGCACAACCUCGUGUUUGUCCAUGUCGAUAGAUCGCCACACCUCCGGCAACUUCGCCGCCAUGAGCCAGGAGUGACACACGAGGCCGGCGCCCAUCAGGACGUCGACGGCGCCGAGCCUGACGAAGAUCAAGGACAACGCAUCGAGGGGCAGCAACGACCAGUCCAUGGUCGGCGGCGCAACAUCGUCCAUCGACGAUAGAUCUGGGAGUGGGGAGUUGGAAACUGAAAACAGUAAUUGUCAGAGCGUCUAGUGACCUUUUUAAUUGUUGAUUGAUGAGGAAGACUAUCAAGGGGCCUACUUUUUCUUUUUGUUGAGAAAACCAGGGGCGGUCUCUCAUGUUCUCGGCCUAACAACGUGCCAACCUCGGGACGGAAUAAGGUACACACCUUCCUCUUUGGUGCUUAAGGUAGAAGGCAACUCAUAUAAUUCUUUUUCCCAUCGGUUUUGGAACCUUUUAGAAGAGUCCUAUGGUUUUGGCCGGUUUCUCUCUGGGGUUUUUUCCGGAAAGUUUUUGUUCUCGUUCUUUCUUUUUAUUUUUCUUUCUCUUUUCUUUUUGUUUUUCAUUUUUUAGUCGUUUUUUCUUUUCCAUUUUUGUUUCCUUUUUUCUUUUGUGUACAUGAACAUUUUCAAAUUCAGGAUCAUUUUUUUAAUGUAUGAACUUUUUAAAUUUUUGGGAAUCUUCUUUCAAACCCACAAACAUUUUUCAAAUCCACACAAUGCAUGAACUUUUUAAAAUUUAGGAACCUUUUUUCAAAGCUGUGAUCAUUUUCAAAUCUUUGAACAUUUUUUAAAUCCAUGAACCCUUUUCAAAUCCAUGUUUUUCAAAACAUUAUGCUUUUUCAAAUCCGUGGAAUUUUUUCAUCAUUGCGAACUUUUUCUCAAAUGCAUGAAUUUUUUUUCAAAUGUGCGGACAUUUUUCAAAGUCAUGAACUUUUUUCAAAAUUCAUAAAAAAUAUUUUCUAACUUUUAUAUUAAAUAUGUGAAAUCUAAACCAGGGGAACAGAAAAAUCUAGAAUAAAAAGCUGGAGUGACCGACCUACCUACGGGCAGAUGAACUGCGCGAGAAAACUUGACAAGGUUGACCUUGCAAUGCUCUCUAACGGAAAUAAUCACUAUGAGAAGCUAAAAGGCCAGUUAGAUUUGAUAUUUCUCAUUGUCUACAUGCUAUAUUUCUUCAACUACAAUCCUUUUGCAUUUUAGAUAAAAUAUUAGUUCUUUUUUGUGGGGUAAAUGUUUGUUCUUUUUGAAGUAACAUGUAAUUUGUUCCUUCUUAAUAAUUAAUGUUGGGACCUAGCUACUGAUAAUUCAACCCAGAGCCCGGGCUCGGAUGAGCCUGGUGAACAGUACCACGAUUUAAAAAGGAAAAAAGUUUUAGAAAAUCCAAAUUUUUUUGUAGUGCAAGAUUCUCCUGUGCGUGAACUCCGUGCAAAAUUUUGUGAAGUUUGGACAUUCGAGGAGCUCAUGACAAAAAAGAUAAAAUCAGGCGUGAACAGUGCGAUUUUCAAAAGUUUCUCAGACAUCCAAAAUUUGUCUUUUUUCCACGAGCUCCUUGAACGUCCAAACUUCACAAAAAUUUGCGUGGAGUUCAGGCACAGGUGCAUCUUGCACCACAAAAAAAUUGAAACUUUUUGAACUUUUUUUCCUCUCAAAUCAUGGUACUGUUCAUGCCCGGGCACCAAAUCGCUGCUCUCCCUAGCUACUUUUCUUUUUUUUUUUCUAGAACGGUGUCGUACUGAUUUGUGGCUGUUGUUGCAACACUUGGUUGCUUCAUGUUUGAUCGUCUCAAACCCGGUUUCAUAUUCUUAAAAUACAGUAGGAGUUCCCAUCAGAGUUAUAUGUUAUUAAUACAAAUAACUCAAUUUGUAGUUACAUUUAUUUAGCAUGGGAUAGGUAAUUUACACAUACUCAUUGUUCUCCUGUGUUCAUCGCCUAAUCAAAUUUCCUAUAAGGAGAAUAAUUGAAUAUCUUUUCUUUACAACAAAGUGAUACAGUAUUAGAUGAAUCUAGGUGAAAUAUAUGUGCUACUUCAUCAUGAUGCAACUCAAACCUCACAGUGGGUACAUGUUGUAUGUUUUAGGGUUACAUUGUAGCAUGACCAUGUUUUUUGCCUCCCAGUAAAAAGGUUCUAUUAUCAAGUGGCAUCAUUCAGUGUGAAUUAAGGUAUUUUUCUUCGUCAGACAAUUUGCUUGAGUGGAAGUUGUCUUAAGAAAAAAAGUAUGAUUGGUUGAAACAUAGAAAGUUAACUUCUAAAAAUUGCCUGAAUGUAGUUUGCACAGUAUGGUUCUUUUUAUUUGAAAGACCCAGCAAAUUGUUGGCUUGAUUCAUAUUUAGAAAGAAGCAACGAAAGAAUAACAUGGUGAGGACCUGAAGAUCAAAGAAAAAUGGAAAGGAAACGCCAACCCUAAUGGCUGCGGUACAACACUACACUCUCUGGUGGAUCACCAUCCACUCACAACAAGACGUCGCAGCUCUGACUCUAAUAAAGAACUACGAAGGAGAACUAGGCAAGUUGGCAUCGUAGGAGAUCACCGAACAUACCACUUGUCGCCUGUCAUCAUACUCCACUGGGGUCCCCACCACUGGAACUUCCACAUCACAACAACAAACAGCCGAGGCAACCCCACAGACACGCCGAAGAAGAGCCGGCUAUCCAAACCAAUGCCACAUCUCUGACAUCGCUCACCCCGCCAUCGUUGCCACAGAAGCCUAGCCUCCCACAUCGACAGACAACCGAACCCAAUACCGUGCAUGUCAAAUCCAUAAAGAAGUACCAAAGGGACCAAGAUAUUCAAGACAGUGCUCCAAAGAGGGGAAACGACACUGAAAGCACCGCCGCCGCCCGACACUACAAUAGGAUCUAGAAUUUCGCCCGAAGAUCUCGAUCUGGGAGUUGAGAAUGUACAUAUCUCCCCACGGUCCCUCCAAGGAGGAUAAUAGUGCCCACAAGCGUCAUCGCUGCCAGCCAGCAAGCACUGGCCAAGGCUUUCACCCGGAGCAGCACAACCACCACUCUCACGCAGCCGGCAGAGCCGACAAGGGCCUCCACUAGACCACGCAUCCCCAACGCAGUGAGCAUGCCAACGCUGCGCAGGGUCUGGCGGGUCUGCCCGCCCCACCGCACGCAUCCUCCUCCAGAACGAGCCGAACCCAUAUCUGGCUUCCGCAUGCCUAUGGCAGGUAUAUAGCUUUGUCCAAACGCCUUAUCAUCUGAUCUUGCUCGUUUGUUGCGACCUACAGAUCUACCUAGAUAACUUCAAAGGAUCCAAUAAAUGCCCGAUAAGUGGUGACACAAUGCUUUUACAAUUUGUGUGAAGCAAGAAGCCUAGAAGCGACAAGGUUGCAAACUUCUCAAGAGAUAAAGUGAACCUUGAAUGGGAACAUUUAAAAUUUUGCAAUCCAAAUGAGCAUAUCUACAAGCAUGACACGAGAAACACAACAUUACUAGAAAUGUCUUUUGAGUUCCGAUGGAGGUACUAUCAAAGACGCAGUAGUAAGCAAGGUCAAAAAGGCAUGUUUGUUUCGGCUUUAGUUGGCUUCAAAUCACCUGCAGAUUCACUUCAUUGAAGUACACAUGAACGUGCUUCAAGCAAUUGUACUGAAAAUGGCCUGAAUCUAGAUUCAGAUUCACUUGCAAAGUUGAUUCCAAAUAGUCAUUUGUUUCAGCUUCUGAUUUUUUUUUCUAUGGGAAUCUGCUGCCUAAAGCUGAAACAAACAGGGCCUAAAGUGUGGUGCCAAAUCUCAAAUUUAACAUCAGGUAGCAGACCUUAAAAUGAAUUCACCAUAAAUAAAAAACCUAAUCUUGGGGUGACAAAAUAAAAAGGAAAACAAUAUGCAACAAAACAUGUCUCAAUAACAAUCUGAGAUCGACUAAUGUUAGACACGCUUCAAAGAUAAUAACUUACACGUAACACUGCAUGUAUUCUCAUAUACAUGAAUAAUAAGGACCAUCUACAGACCAGACUCUCGUGUCACUCCCCCGCAGAGCGCCCUGGGAGCAAACCUAGCCGCCGUACUAGUUACCAUCCCACCAUUGGCCUCCCUUGCCGCCGUCAGCAGGCACCGUCGGGCAAAGCCCGCACGGCGCGGGCAGCCGUGGGGCGCUCCUUUCUACCUCCGAUGGGUUUGAGCGGGGCGGGGCGGCUCGGCCGGUGGAGGCGCGCGGGUGGCAUGGUGCCUGCGUCUGGGCGGCGCUGUAGGUGGGCACUACACAGGCGACACAUUCGGCACAGACCUGCUGGGUGUGGGCCCUUGAAGGCUACAAUGGUUGGGUAUGCGCCGGUGGCGCACCAACCGGAUCAGGCGAGAAGAUGAGGCGUGGGAGCCUCCGGAGUGCGUGUGGUGGGGGUUGGCCUUGAUCUGUGUUUUAAUGAGGGCGCGGGUGGUGCAAUGGGCGGUGUUGUAGGGUGACGGCUUGAUGCGCGGCUGCCGGCCAGCGGAGGAGGUUCCACCAGCUCUGCCGCCUAGCGGCCGCAUUCGCCCGAUGUCAUGGGGAUGGGCACCUUGCUAGCGCGUGGAGUUGCCAGCACCGGUGGCUGACCACGGAUCUGGGUUGCGCAGCAGGUUUGAUCUGGACCAUUAGGGUGUCUCCGAUAGAGCAUCUGGUGUUGUGUCGGCAGGCCUCAGCGGUUGCUUGGGGCCAUGGUGAUGUUGUUGGUUGCGGUGGGGGCUAGGUGUGGAGGUGUUGGCCGUUUCUGACCGUGGUGUGGUGGGGCGCGGCAAGGCGGCUUCUUCUGCGAGGUGUUGUGGUGGCGGCGGAGUGACAAACAUGGAGGAUGGUGUGCCUCAUUCCGGUGGGUAGUGAUGCACGUGCGCAAUGUUUCAGAUGAAAGUCAUGCCCAUAUCUUCGAUCGGUGCCAACGACGACCUUGGGUGUUGUUUCCCCUUCUUGAAGGCGUCGCUACGAUGAGUCGGCACCUUACUCUCUCUCUCACUUGUCUGGUUGUCCCCGAGCAAAAACAUAGGUUCGGAUCCGGACCGGCGAUGGCGACGUCCUUGACAUUGUCCCUAUGUUGGGAGCAUUGUUUUGGAGACAUGCGUCCUUUUCUGAGUUUCUUCGGUAGUCGCUGCGGUUCUGGAUUGUUCAUCAAAUGCGUUAUGUAUAUCUUCAGGGCCGUCUCCAGGAAUUCAAGACCCAGUGUGAAAUGCAAAUGAGAACCUCAAUUUUGAAAUAAAUAAAUAGCUAAAUGUUAUUUUAUAAUAUUUAAAAAUAUAGCAAAUAUACCAACUAUCUUCCCGUAAACAAUUCAAAAAAAUGAGGAAUGGAGCAUAUAGCAAUUUUAUUUAAUUAACUGGAGAACUGGCGAACAUGUCCGGCAAAUAUUGGAAAAGAAAAGCACACCUGAUAGCCAUGAGGAGUGGUCGGUGAUGCACUAAAUUAAAUCCCCGAAUCGAUGUGGCCGUAGCUUUGGUACUAAGUCGCUGGCUGUCUUGUCUAAUUUGUGCUUGGCGGCGUUGGCCCCUGCUAAGCCCUGAUUCGCGCUGAUUUCUGGUCUAAUUUGUGGAAUGAAUUCAACCGUUGUGGCUAGACGCCCUGAUUUGCGACCGCGCCAACGCCAAGUAGAUUCGAUCAAGUCCGCCAGUCGGGGGAAUCGUGAAAGAUUAGAAAGGAAGCGAAGAAGACGCAACUGAUAGGGAGCAACAAGGCUGAUCGGAAGGGUGUUUCGGAGAGGGCUCUUUUUUGGAAGGUGGUUCGGUGUUCGGGAGAGGUUCGUCAACAUUGUGGAAACAAAGGAAUGACCUAGGCCCAACAAAAUCUGGGGCCCCUGAAAUUUUGGGGCCCUUUGCGGUCGCACAGCCCCGCACGGGCCCUUGACGGCUAUGUAUGUCGUCGCGGGUAAGUCCAAGACGAUGACUUUCUCGAGGCUGUCCGAGUCCCGCCAAUUACCAGUACACUUUUUUCGACAAACAAUGAUGGUUGGUGUGUCGGCAAGGAGAGAUCGUUUGGAGUUGUUGCUUUCUGGAGGUGACCAGCGUUGGUCGAGACGCGGCUUUGUUGAUCAGUUUAGGAUAGGUCGUUUAGUAAUGAAGUUGUUUUGCGUGUGUUUGAGUUGGAUUGGUGUUCACUACUCACCGACAUAUGGUGGGAGCUUGACUGUGUUCUUCUAUUUAACCCUCUGGCUUCUUAAAGUUAAGGCAUGCAAUUUGAGUGAUCCAAAAAAAAAUCAGUGUAUGUGAAAAUUCUAGAAUGGGACGGAUGUUAAAGUGACCAUCAUGUGCGUUACAAUUAAACGCAUGUUUCAUUAGAAGUGAAAACCCCCUUGUUAAUUGUCAUGUGGUUGGCAACCGACACGCCUCUCCCUUCACUUUCGCUAACAACCGGCACUCUCGGGAUGUCUUGUAGCAAAUCCAAUCAAUGAGAACAACUAUUCUACUACUUGUCAGUUGCCUCUUGCAAUUAUUAUAUGGAUAGGGCAAACACAUUAUAUCUUUAUCUGCCGGAUUGUACUACACAUAUUACAAAAUACGCAGCACAUGUUGCGUAUAAGAUGUUCGUCUUUUACAUGACAAACUUGACACACUCGCCUUGGUCAUCCAGAUGUUGGGUUGAAACCGAAACUAUCAGCAAUUUUAUUGAUUAUGACUAAAUGAUGCUAAAUUCUAACAAUAUUUGGAUUUUAUGUGUACUACAUGACACAGGGAAGCUGAUUUUUAAGACUUGCGCAUCUUAGAGUCUAUGCUGAACCGCUCAGACUCCUUGAAUGCAUCAAGUCGAGGUAAAUGACUCUUCCCAACCAUUGACUAAACUAUUCCCAACGGCGUUUCCUAAUAAGAAUCGGUACAUCGCAGCAUCAAUCCACGUCGAGCGUUAUUGGGCUGGGCCAUUAUGGUUAACAGCGGGUGUGAUUUUUUGGGCCCUGUUUUUGUACUGUGUUGGUUUCUAUCGGUAUUUUGGGGGUUUACCGAUUUUCUUUUGUCUUCACCAUUUUUUAGGUUUUCUCUUUUUCUUUGUUUUUUCACCGGUUUUCUUUGUCUCUUUCAUUGUUUUUGUUAGUUUUUUCUUCUCUUUUUUACUUUGUUUUCCUUAGUUUCUUUUUUGGUUUUACUAUUUUUUUUCUUUCUUUCCUCGGUUUCCUUCUUUUUUCUUUGUUUCUUCUCGGGUUUCACUGUUUCCGUUCUUUUGCAUUUGGUUUGUUUGGUUUUCAUUUCCAUUUUUUGGUUUUCUUUGUUUUCUCUUUUAUGUUUUAUUGUUUUGAUGUUUUAUUUGUUUCAUUGUUGAUUUUUAUCGGUUUAUUUUUUUUCAACACAUGUAAACUUUUUUCUGGUACACAUUACAUAUUUAUUGUAUAUAUAAGGAACAUAUAUUAUACACAUGAUUAACAUUUUCAAAUAUAUGAUUAACUUAAAAAAUGUCUAUUUUUUCCAUAUGGAUUGUACAUUUUGUAAGACACAUCUGAUAAUUUUCAAAUAGAUGAUUAACUUUUUUGAAUACCUGGUCAAAAAAAUUCAAGUACGUAGUGUACACUUUCCUAAUUGUAACAUGUAUUUUUUUUGACACAGUGUACAUUUUCCUAUACAUCUGGAACCUUUUAUAUACAUGUGCAACAAUUUUUAAAUACCUAAUAAAAUUUUUGAAAAUAUACGUUUUGAUGUCUACUUUUAUUUAAUAUAUGUUGUACUUUUUUAUAGACACGAGGAAGAUUUUAAUAUAUAUUUAACAUUUUUAAAAUGCAUCAACGAUAUUUUUCGUACAAAUUGUUUUUACAUGACAAACAUUUUUUCUAUACACAUUUAACAUUUACCAAAUACUUGAUUAACAUUUUUAAAUGUGUGAUCAACUUUUUUCAUACACAUUGCAUAUUUCUGUAUACAUUUUAUGUAUAAAUAAGAAACAAUUUUUCUAUACACAAUUAACCUUAUUAAAAUGCUUGAUUAAUUUUUUUUCAAAUGUUUUAUGUAAAGUUUUUUUGUCAUUUUUUUGAAUAUUUGGAAGCAUAAACAAAAGUACAAAAACAAAAAGUGAAAAACAAGGGGAAACAAGGAUGUGACAUGUGGCGUCCUUCACACUGGGCGACCAAUUUAGAAGGCGCAUGAGACGAGCGCAUGGUAAGUCUGGCUAUAAGCGAGACAUAAGCCUGCCCUCGGUACAAGCGAGGCAUAGUCCAUGCGCGACCCGUGUUCCUUCUUUGCUCGUCCUCUGCCUUAUCCACUGAAGAUAUAUUUNNNNNNNNNNNNNNNNNNNNNNNNNNNNNNNNNNNNNNNNNNNNNNNNNNNNNNNNNNNNNNNNNNNNNNNNNNNNNNNNNNNNNNNNNNNNNNNNNNNNNNNNNNNNNNNNNNNNNNNNNNNNNNNNNNNNNNNNNNNNNNNNNNNNNNNNNNNNNNNNNNNNNNNNNNNNNNNNNNNNNNNNNNNNNNNNNNNNNNNNNNNNNNNNNAGUAACAACCCAACCACAAUUGUCGACUGGCCAUAGAGCACUAAAUGGGUCAGGGUUGUCGGACGCGUGUGUGGCAGUUUCUGGAUGCCCGCAAAGCCCCCGCCCCUCGGUUUGUAGGAAAAGCAACGUCCGAACCGGCUAGUGAACUGAUAUAAGACCACAUUGGAUGGCAAAACACGUCUAGACCACGCGGUACAGACAGAUGGGGGCGGUUUGAGGGGUCGUGUUGAUGACGCCAUAACCCUUAACUCGUGAUUUCGGCUUUCCUAGCGUUAGGGCUAUACGUCGCCCCCGCCCGUACCAAUUCCUAAUAGAAUCGCCUACUGGCGCCGCCUAGCAAGCCAACUGGUUGGCGUGGUUGCUUCGUUGCCGCUCAUAUCGCACGUAGCUUCAUUCUAUGGUCCUUUUUUUUUGCGAAUUUUUUAUUUGCUUUUGUGUAUUUUCACCAGUUUUCUUUUUCUUCAUUUACUUUAUUUUCCUAUUGGUUUUUUCUAUCUUCUUUAUACGCUGUUUUUUUUGUUUUUUUGUUGUUGUUUUUUCGUUUUAUUUGUUUUUUUAUUUUGUUUCUUUGUCGGUUAUUAUCAGCUUCCUUUCUUUCAACACAUAUUUACAUUUUCCUUGGUACACAAUGUACAUUUUAAGAGCACACGUGAUAUUAUUGUCUGAUACACGGAUAUUUUUCAAAUGCAUGAUGUACAUUUUCUGAAAAUACAUGUUUUGAACACUUCUUUGAAUACAUGAUCACAUUUUAACAAAUACAAAUUGUACUUUUUUAAAUGGCGAUAAACAUUUUUUUAACUACGCAAACAUUGUUUUAUCAUUGUAUAUAUAUUUUUGAAAAUUUGACGAUUUUUUUGGAAACAUGUGAAUGUAACAAAAUUUCAUGAUAGAUUUUAAUGGAUUUUAACCUGCGCGUCCUAUUUUUUUCAUUUCUAUAUAACAAAUUUUAAAAUAUCAUGAACAUUGUUUUGAAAUGCGGGAAUAUUUCCAUCAAAUGUGACACUUUUUUAAUGGAACAAAACUCUUUUUUACAUUAUGCAAACAUUUGUUUUACAUUGUACACACAUUGUUUUAUAAAUAUAGCAUAUGUUUUUUUACAAAUAUAGCAUAAAUAUAGCGAAAAGAGAAAAAAGUCGGGUGACCAACGACGUACUGGGCCGAGCCACCACUGACGCUCUGUAGGCGAGGUGGCUAUGCGCCUCGCAGUUGGGGGCACAUAGCUACAACCGUUUUCCAAGUUCAACAUUUUUUUAACACUUAAAAACUAUUUUUUAUUUACCCCUCAAAAAAACUUGUUUUAUUAAGAAUCUCCUAGUUCAAUAUUUUUUUUUGAGAAACACCUGUAAUUUUAUUCACACUCAUAACAAUUACAGGUACAGUGAUUUGGACCAAAGAUCCAAGAAAAUACAAAGUAACUUCUAUAACUAAGAAUUACAACAAAAUCUCUUGGGAACACCUUCUUCGCAGUAUUCAUCUCUGCUAGAAGAAAUUCUCCAAAGAUUUUGGUAAAAGGGCUGCAAUUGGACUGGAGCAACGAUGUUGUCCUGUUUCACCUGAACGAACAUUAUCAAUAAUGGUUUUUGAAAGCGCCUUGAGUCGCCCAUACAAAAAGAUGGGAAGCCUUAAUCGAUGAACAUAUGAAGAUCACUAGACGCUGAGGAAGAUCACGAACCCUAAAAAGUUGGAGUAGCUUUUCUGCAUUCUUGUGAGGCCACGUGAACAGGCCUGGUUCAAUAAUUUAGUGUUGAGAUUGUGUCAGCAUCCAUGGGCCGAAGAGCGUGAGAGUGCAAAGAACGCAGAAAAAGAAGCAGAUUCUAGCCCAUUUCAAGCUUGCCACUGCUCAAUUAUUUUCUCCUUUUUAUAGGUAGAAAUACCAAAUCCUUGUGCGAGUAAUAUCCGUGAGUGAGUGAAAUCCAGCCAUGCCAUUACCUGACUGUUGUUGCUAAACUAUAUCAUUCCCCGACGAAAACUGUUCCAUGCUCACCGCCAUUUCAAUUCUAUUAGGUUAAACAAGAGAUAUUUCUUUUGAAGGCAGGUUUAACAAGCUACAGCUCUGAAGCCAGGCCACAGCAAUAGUCUGAAAGCAAAGGCCGACGGAGCUAACAAGCAACAGGAGUCAAAGGCCAACCACCAGUAGUACGCUACGAUGGAAACGAUGCUCCUCGCCGACGGAGCAGGGCGCCAGAAAUUCAGGAUCACGCCCAAGACAUGGGGCCAUAAAUACACCCCAAUUCAUCCACAGCGACUGUGGCGAUUCCACAACCGAAAGUGCUGGGCGGACGACACGCCAUGCACGACAGUGGAACGACGCCGAAUCCAGCCGUCGACUGCACUUCAUUCACGUGCAUGGACGGACUGAUAUAUAUGAUCGUUCGCAAAUCGUUCGCACACCAUCGUGUGCAUAGCCAUAACAUUUUCCACACAGAGGAUUAGAGAUGAUGAUCUAAUAUAUUGCUACCACUAUUUUGCUUCAUGGUUCCAGACGAACAAUCUCUUCAGAGUUCUGAUGAACAGACAAUUAGACGAAAGGAUCAUGGAGAUUAAACAGGGGGUGAAGAAUAAGAAGGGAAACGGGCACUAAAUUAGCUGCUUGCUGAGCAUUGCCAGUUAGAAGAACCGCCGUUGCUACCUAGGUGCGGCUUCUCUGCCUCGAGCACAAGUCAAAAAAUGAAUCCAUCCUGCUUCUGCCUCUACUCUGAAUCGCUCUCCAUGCACAGCGCCUUCAGUCCCCUCGCCCUCUGCUGAUUGAAUUUGCGAGAUAUCAGUAACACAUCGAUAAAUGUAGAUGGAACUAACAGCUCGUGUAUGUUACUUGUUUGCAAUCAAAGGGAAAUGAGGAGAUCUGGGGUACCUUUUUGGAGCUCUUCUUCUCUCUAACUUCAUACCUCUCGUGCGACAAAUCUGACAGCCAUGCUCCUGGGCACACCGUCUAUGGUCAUACACAACAACGACCAAUGAAACAUUAGGGUUAGGAAAUGAGCAUCAACACAUCUUUGAAAGAAAGGAACUUGACAGUUUAUUUUCUGAGAAGAAAGGGAACAUUACAAGCAAGCACUUCUGCAUCAGCUUGGGCCUCUUCUUCGGCCUCUGAGGGAGCUUGCAGCCCUUCAUUGCCAAGAAGUCCUCCUCUUUCUCCUUGUUCGACAGUGAGAUGAAGAACCUCGGCAGAGCAGCGGUGCCCUUCUCUUCCACCCCACCGCUGAAAUCGAACCCAUUCCCCUCAAAGGGAAAUGUGGAACCCCUGGUGGAGUAGUACCGGUCCUUCUCUGGUGAGAGGGAUAUGGACUGCCUGGCCUCACUCGCCUGUGCCUCGGAUUUCCUGCUCGCAAGCAAAUACCAGGGUCAGACAUUUCUUGACAUUUUGCACGGCCAAGGGUCAAAGGAAAAUGGUCUACGGAUGCAAUACUGAAAUUACCUCCGGUGAAGAGUGCUUGGGCGGCGUGGUGAACGAAACUGUGAGACAUCGCCUCCCAGAAGGGGGCGAUUCACCCGGGGUAUGGUGCGCCUGAGCGCAUCCGACCGGGCCGGCGACGGCGAGCCGUCUUCCCGGGACUUGACGCAUCGGAGCCGCUUCCGGCUGCCCCAUUGCAGGAACAGGUUUGGCUCGCCGGAGGGCUUUGACUCCUUGACCUCCUGGUCCAUCUAUAUCCUGAAAAACGGCAAAGCCGUCAGCAUGUAAAUAAACCCUAAUAAACUGCAGAUCGGGAUGAACUUUGUCAAACAGAGUUAGCGGCAGAGGAGAUAAGCAAGCUGUAGAUCCAACGACUUCGGAUAAACCGCUAAUCUUCCGUUGCAAAGUAGCAAGUGCUUCAAGGAUUGUUUGGCGUAUCCAUCAGAUCCAGCCCAACAGAUGCAUCAGAUCGGACAUGGCCUCGUGAAGAACAGAGAAGGAGCUCAGGGAAGGCAGAGUGAGGGAGAUGGGAAAGAGGUGGGCUUCUGGCGGUUCACCUUCUCGCUGCCUGCUGGAGACGGCGGUGGAGCUCAGGAGCCGGGCUCCUGGCGGCUGAGGAAGCAGAGGGUUGGUGAAGUUCGGCGGGGAGGCGGCGUGCAGGUUGGAGCUCCUGGCGGCGGUUGAGGUAGCAGAUAAGGUUCCCGGCGGCGAGGACGAGGAGGAAGUUCCCGACGCAGGCGGCGAGGAGGUCGGCGCAGAAGACGGAGCAGCGCGGCGCUGGACGGCGGACGGCGUGGUGGCGCUCGACGGUGUACGGCAGGCGGACGCAGGAAGAGUCGCGGCAGAUCUCGACGGUCGACGAGGCGCUACGGCGAGAAGGGGCGUCGGCGGAGGUGAAGAGGGGCUCGGCGGAGGGCGGAGCGGCGGCAAGAAUGGAGGUGGGCGGUGGCGGCGGAGGCGAGAGAGGUUGGGCGCUGGGGUGGAAUUUUUGGGGAGAGGUGGCUGGGAAGUUGGGGGGGAGAAUGGGAGUGGGGGUCAGCGUGAAGAUGGAGGCGCUGCGCUGCGGCCUGCGGAGCGCGGGGUAGCCGGGCGGGGUGGGAAACCCCAAAGAUAUCAUCCACUCCUACCACUGCUGCCAUGACUUUGGUGGGUUACAGAAGUUGCGAGAUUUUUCAAACUAAAAUCAUAAGGUUUGCAAGGGUUUUAAAUUUUGUAACCAAAUUUAUUCUUCUUUUUUGCGGCUACCAAAUUUAUUCACACCAUGAAAAAAAACCAGAGUGCUGAAUUGUGCAAUCUUUGAAAUAAUAUUCUCAACCGAUAGUUUUCCGUUCCCCGUCAUUCCCCGUCCAUCUCAUUCCUCACAUCCACGAUCGCGUCUCCCAUCUCCAAUCCCCCACGCCACACACAUUCUCUUUUUUUCUUGAAGAUCAGCACCGCUUCACCUUCCAUAGGCGUGCAGGCUCCCUGCGAUGGUGUUGUCCCUCCCGCCUCCUUGGGCAUGAAGCCCUGUGUGCGCGCAGUCGCGUUGCUCAAUCUGGGCUAGAGUAGCGCUAGUGCUUCAACGGUUGCCAUUCGAAGCUGCUAGCAAGCCACCGUGGCCGCGCUAGUGUUGCACGAAGCUCCCGCUGGUGAGCCACCGCGGACGCCCGCUACUGCAGGUGAACCACCGCGGCACACGCCAGUGCUGGAAGGCACAUCGCUGGGUUGCACGGCGACACGCACUACUGCGCGCCGGAGAUGUUUUUGCAAUAAGGGUCAUAUUGCAAUGAGGGUUCUCAAUAUGGGUCUUGUUGCAAUGGCGACGGGCACGCCCGCGAGCCGAAGAUGCUUUGCAACAAAGGUCCUGGUGCAAUGAAGGUUUGUGGGUCUUGUUGCAAUAGCAAUGGACACGACCGCUAACCAAAGGUGCCUUUCACAAGAAGAGUCGUGUUGCAACAAAGGUUUGCAGCAUAGAUCAUGCUGCAAUGAGGUGAGCAUAUAAGAGGAACAAUCAGACAGUGAGCAUCAUACCAUAGGAUGGCUUGCUAGCCGGCUGAUCCUUGAUGAUUAUUAUCCGGAUGACGCAUAUCGCGUCCCAUUUUUCUAGUACUUUUAGCAAGGAAGCACAAAUCCCUAAGAAAAUCAGUUGGGACAAAUAGCAUACUAUCGGUACUGAUGUAAACAAAUAAACGAAAACAAAGAAAGAAGAAAAAUCAAUGAAAACCGAUAAAGAAACGAAGAAAACCUAUAAAAAACAAAGAAAAAAGAAAUACCGUGGAAACCUAGAGAAAAACUAGUGCAAGAAACAGAACAAGAAACAAAGUAAGAAACAAAAAAGGCAAAGUAUAAUGAAGAAAAAUGAAAAAUCAAGGAAAAGCGAAAAAUAAAUUUAAAAUAGAUGAAAAAACCAAAGAAAGUAAAAAAGAAAAAGAAAAAAAAACGAAACAACCAGCGUUAACAAACGAACGAACCAGAACACACUUUAUACUGGGUGAGGGUAAGGCUGCAAAAAAAGCUCGAGGCUCGUGAGCCACUCGAGAUCGACUUGUCUUUUGGCUCGACUCAAGAUCGACUCGAAACGAAACGAGCUGAGUACGAACACUUUAUGUAGCUCGAUUGAGAAACGAGCCGAUCUUGAGCUAAUACUGGCUCGCUUGAUUUUAGUUCAAUAUCUCGAGAUAAUAUAACUAUGAUAAAUGAUCAUGAUAUAUAUCAAAUGGAAAUAAGAUAAUUUAUUACCAUAUAUGUUGUGUACAAUUAUUCUCCACUUUAUUUACCUUUAAAUUGUGAUCAGCUAUGCAUAAAUACAUAUCAUGUGUUUUUGGCAAAAGUUUCCAAGCAUAUGCACUUUCGAUUUCCUGUCUUUCGUCCACAAUGAGCUCUCCCUAGCAUGACAAGACGGCCGUACCAUCGAUUAAACAAAGUUUUUUUUUUCUCAAUUUCACAUCAUCUAGUUGAUACUAUAGUUUAUAAGUAAAUGAAUGAUAUCUAAAUACAUAUGUUGUUCCCUUUCUAGAUCUGAGUUAUAGUUAGACUGUUCGCGUGUAAAAUACUCUUGGACUGGGUGCAAGUUGUAUCUACGAAAUUAUUUGUUAGUUUUAAUCUAAAUAUUUUUUUGGUUUAGCGAUUAACAUAGAUCAAGGUGAGCUCCUUUCAACACAAUUUUUUAAGCCAUAAUGUCAUAUUUGGGAUGAUAAACCUAUGUCAGCAGUUUAGUGCAUCCUCUGCAUGUGAUUCAGAUUACUAAGAAGAUUUUUUCAUGGAUUUUUGGUCUUACAUGUGUCACUUUGAAAAUGUUUUCUUGUAGAUUUAGAAUAGUAUUUUCACAAACAACAUCAUCAAUAAUACUUUUCAUCUUAAUAAUCUCGGAUCCUUUGUUCAAAUUUAUAUUAUCAUCGUCUUGAUUGAAAUAAUAUUUUUCUAGUGCUUUCUUAUCUCGUGUUGUGCCUUAUCUAGUUGAAAUAAUCCCCUUAGAUUUUUCUACCGUCUUGUUUAGCUUGAAACUAACUCGACAUUGACUCGAAAUCGUUACAAACUGAGCAGGAGUUAUGUUUUACAGCUCGACCUUGAGCUUCCGUCAGUUUGCGGUCGCUCGAAUUUUAAUAUGAGUUGAGCUGAGCCAAGUUUAACUCGGUCGAACUCGACUCGUUUGUAGCCCUAGGUGAGGGGAGCUAUCAUCUCGCUCAUAACGAGAUAUAGCCCCUGCGGCGACCUAGAGAAGACGUAAGGAAGCCUUGCUGAAGGCGAGAGCGACUUGGACCAGGCGCGCGGAGGCGGAAACGUCGGAUUCUGUUUCUAAAAAAAAAUUGCUUUCUUUUUUUUCUAAUUUUCUACCAAACAUUAUAAAUAAAAUAUAUUAAAAAACACUUUAAAUAAAACAUUGAAGAAAACUUUUGACCAAUCAUUUGAAAACUAUUAAACAUGUAUAGAGAAAUCGUUUCUCAUGUAUACGAAAAAAAUGUACAAUGUGUGUGAAAAAAAUUGAUAAUUUAUUAAAAAAAUGUUAAUCACGCAUUUCAUAAAAAAAUUAAACAAGUAUUUUAAAAUGUUAAUCAAUCAUUUAAAAUGUUAAUCACGCAUUUCAUAAAAAAUUUAAUCAAGUAUAUAAAAAACAUGUUGACCUUGUAUUAAAAAAAUGUAAAUUUUGUAUUAAGAAAUGUUAACUAAGCACUUAGAAAAUAUUAAACGUGUAUAGGAAAAUGUUAACCAUGUAUUAAAAAAUGUUAAUGUUGUACUUGCAAGAUGUUUAACAUGUGUUAGAUAUAUACCAAAGAUGUACAAUGUGCAUAAGAAACAUUGACAUAAAAAUAAGUUUUCAAAAAAAUGUUAAUCAUAUAUUUGGAAAAUGUUAAAUGUUUAUAUAAAAUACGUUUCUGAUGUAUAAGUAAAAUGUUGAAUGUGUACUGAAAAAGUUAAGACCUGUUGAACAAAAAAAGAAACCGAUGAAAAUCAUUAAAAAGAUAAAGAAAAGAAAGAAAACCAAUAAAAAAAGAAAGGAAACAAACACAAAAGAAUGAAAAACGAUGAAAACCAAGAAAAAAGAAAGAGAGAAAAGCAAAAAACCAAUUAAAAAGGAAAAGAAACAGAUAAAAAUGAAGAAAACAUGAAAAACGGUGCAAUCCGAGAAAGAAUCGAAGAAAACCAAUGAAAAAGAAAAGAAAACGAAAAAAAACAAAACUGUAUAUGAACCAAAGAAAACAAAUAAAAAAUAAAAAAUUCAGAGAAAACGGAGAAGAAACAAAAACCGAGAAAAAGGAUUUAAAGUAGCGAAGCGAUCGCUCGGGAGCGACCGUCGCGUGUCAGCGAGCGAAAAUAAGAAGGCAAACGGGCUGGCCCAGUUCUCUGCAAGAUGAAGCUUUUCUUCGGCGGAGAAGCUAUGGUCUCGUUAUAAGCGGGACAUAGCUCUUGCGCAAAAAAGGAGCCCAUGUAAGCGACAUAUAGCUCCAGCGGGAGAUAUUGUCAUAUCCCAUUUACGUGUUUGGGUCUUUUUUUUCCUUUCGUUCUUUUAAUUUAAAUUUUUGUGGUCUUACUAUUGGUACUUUUCAUUCAUUUCUCUAUUUAAUUUCUUUUCGUUUUCCAUUUUAUUUUAUUUUCUCGUUUCUAUUUUUAUUUUUACGUUCUUCUAUUUUUCAAUUUGAUUUGGAAAAAUGCAUUUUUAGUAAAAUUUAAUUUAUAUGAAUUCUAAUAUCCAUGAAAAGUAUUAUUAAAAUAUAUGGACUUUUUUUUAAAAUACAUGAAAAUUGAUUUCAGAUACCUGAACAUCUAUUAAUGUGAGAUGAACAUUUUCUUUUCUGCAUACACACAUUUAUAUUUAGCUACAUGGUCAUAAUAUCCUAUUGCAAUGUAUACAUUUAAAAUUUAUAUUUCAAAAUUUUAUUAUAAAUAAAUGUAUAUUAAGGGACGACCCAUAUCAAAGUACCUUAGGCGGAGCCGGCCCCCCUAUUGCACAUUAAGAGUGGUAGAGCUCCCGAUCGAUGUAGCUCCUAAGUCGUGUCUAGGAAGCAUCGUUGACUUCCCUUCAUCUUGGCUGAUGGCAACCACAGCAGAAGAUAUUUUAAAUUGUAGUAGUAGCAGCAACAACAACAGCAACACCACCAUCAAUAAUAAUAUAUUAAAGAGAUAAAAGUNNNNNNNNNNNNNNNNNNNNNNNNNNNNNNNNNNNNNNNNNNNNNNNNNNNNNNNNNNNNNNNNNNNNNNNNNNNNNNNNNNNNNNNNNNNNNNNNNNNNNNNNNNNNNNNNNNNNNNNNNNNNNNNNNNNNNNNNNNNNNNNNNNNNNNNNNNNNNNNNNNNNNNNNNNNNNNNNNNNNNNNNNNNNNNNNNNNNNNNNNNNNNNNNNNNNNNNNNNNNNNNUUAUAUGUUAUUUUUUUUGUUUGCUGAAAAGACUCCAUUUGAUAGAAAGUACAGAGCAUGCAUGUAAUACAAUCGUUGAACUGAUAAAAGAGCGAUGCUAACUACUCGAGGACAAACCACUCAUAGAUCUACCACACACUCUACCUUAUAUUUCACCUAAGUUACAUAUUUUCACGCUAGCAAAACUUACAUGCUUUUUCUAGACAUGUUUUAUACCACCCUAUGGACAAAUAUUAAAGCUGACAAGGGCACAUAUAAAUAUAAUAUGAUACAUCGUAACACAAUUAACAUGGGCAGAAGCUUUUGUUUUGUAUUAUUUUUAUUACACCAAAUGUUUUUAAAGGUUAGUGUCACAAAACUAAAUUAAGAAAGAAUAAUAACAUAAACUCGACCAAAUAAUAUGAUUAAAAUUUAUCAUAAGCAUAUUGAUAAUGAUAGAGUUAAGACUAAUUAAAAAUUUCUGUCUUCUGAUACUUAACAUCAGUUUUAUAUGAUUAACUCUACCAAGUAUAACAUACAACAUACCAAUUGGCAUCUUAUAUUGGAAAACGAAAUUGCACAAAGCUAAAAAAAUUAAUAUAAAAAGUGAUGAUAUGUAGCUUACCUCAGAUCCAAAAAUAGGUGGGAUAAACAAUAAUACGUGGUAAUUUGUAAUAAUAUUGCUACUUAGUCAUUUGAUUUUUUUAAGAUUCAAAUGAUAAAUCAAUUUAAUUUUUACUACCAAUGAACGUAGAAUCCGCUCCGAAAAUAUCCUACAUAUUUCUUUUACCUCAUAUAUCCUAUGUAUUCAGCCUAAAAAAUAUGAGAGAAAUCAACUAUAGAUGGCAAUUUGCUUUAGAACUUACCAACAUAUUCGAAUCAUCUCUAUUCAAUCUACUGCUCCAAAUUUCCAAUCUAAUUUUUUGCCGCACAUAGUCGCCGAUGAUGCUUCUAAUCAGCCAACCAUAGCUAGGAAUGUUGGUUAUUCUGUGCCUUCAGUAGUCUAUUGAUGACGGUGAUGAAGAUUAAAAAGAGCGAACUAUUGAGUUGCACUAAAAAUCUUAGUGACAAUUAAUUUAAGCUCCAAUAGUUUCUUUCUGUUAAGUUAACAUAUGGAUAGUUUCUAUUUUCAUUCUUUGCCUUUUGCUUCUUCCUCUGAAUAUUGGCCAUUUUUUCCUCAAAGUUGUAUCAGAUAUAUUUACUCAAAAUUCAUUUCUAUGCUAAAUAUCAAAAUCCUCUUUAUAUAAAUGUACUACUGAACCUAAAAACUAUCGACAUUAAUACUAUUGAACACAGGAAGAACAUAGUAGGCACACUAGGGCCUAUGGCGCACCCGGACCUUAUGAAAAUUUCUAAGAAUAAUAGUAUAUAGAUACAUUGUUUGUGACAUAGAGCCGGAAUGAUUUGAAAACUCGAGAUAAAAGAAAAUGUCAUCUUUUCAACCGACCUACUAUUAAGAAGUGAGCUACUUGAUUAGGGGAGUGGAUGUACAAUCCAACCACCUAGGUUCAAGUCCUCACGAACGUGCGUUUGAGUUCCUAUUAUUAAGAAGAAAAAACAUUGUAGGGGUCUUCCUUACCGCUUCCCUUAAAAAAUAAACCAACUGUGUGCUUACCAAAAGACGUGAAGGUUUGGCCAUUAUGGAUAUGAGAACAAUGUCUUAGAGUUUAGUAUGCAAGUGAUCAGGGAAAUUAGAAACUACAUAUGGAAUACAAAAACAACUAUAGGUGUUACAGACAUAAUAGUUGUAGCCGUGGCUAGUUUAUUUUGUCAAAUUUUUACUUUUGCUUUUAGUUGUUGUAGAGAACCAUGCUGUGGUUUCUUUGAUAGAAAUUGUUAAGAGGCUCACUGUUUCAAUUUCCUUAAAGAAAGUCGAUGAGAUACCCAAUGCUUUUUUCAGAAAAAAACGUGGCACCAUUAUAGUUAGAGAAGUGACAUCGAAGGUGUAUUUUUCCGGAUCCUGAUGUGCCACUAGCUUAAACAAAGUGAACGCUCCAGGUAUCGACAGAUGAUGAACCGUGGUGAGUGAUCCGAAUAUCGUUGUGUGGCCGUUGCACGCCACCAUCUAGUUAUCCUAAUAAGAACUAUGUUUUUCCCUCUUUGAUGAUAAGAGACUCAUUGUUGAGAGCACCAAUUCCAAGCGCAGGAUCAUCUACACCCAUUCAUGGACAGUAAAUUCAAGGAAAAUAGUAAAAAUAUUCGAAAAAAUCUGAAAAUUUUAGGUGCUCAAUAUGCUCAGGUGAGCUAGCUGAGUGCAAAUUUUGUGGUCAAAUAACAUUCGUGGAGCUCGUGGCAAAAAAAUUGAUUGCCAAAGAAACUUAAAGAAACACGGUGUAUAUUCGAUUUUUUUCUUCCCAUGAGCUUCUCGAAUGUCAUUUUACCCCAAAAAUUUGCACGCUGAACCUGAAAUCAACUCUGGAUUACCGCUCAUCGUUUCAGUUCCUUUAUGCCUCCUUUGUUCAUAGGAUAGAAAUAUCACAAGAAUAGAAAAAUCAUAGGAAGUGAGAUGACAUGUAUCUCAAUUCCUAUAGGGAAAGAGAUAUCGUUUGAUGCAUGGGAUAUGAAUUUUCCACUGAGUCUACGAUAAUGUCUUUUUUCCUUUUAAAUGUGAAGGAUUGGUCCCUCUCCUACAUAUGAAUAAGGAUUCAUUCCUACAAACAAAAGGGCUCCAAGGAUUUUUUUUCUUACAAAAUUCCUAUACUUCAAAAUUCCUACAAAAUUCCUACGAACCAAAGGAGGCUCCUUCUUUGGUUCAUAGGGUAGAAAAAUCAUAGAAAUAGGAAAAUCAUAGGAAAUGGGAUGACUUGUAUUUCAAAUCCUAUGAGUAGGGAUAGAAAAAGAUAUGCCCUUUGGUUCACAUCAUUGGAUUUUUUUUCCAUUAAGCCUAGGCUAAUGUUUAUUUUCCCAUGAAAUGUAGAGGAUAGGUAGAAUUCUUCCAUACAAAUAGGAUUCUAUCAUACAAACCAAAAGACACUAAAGGAAUUUUUCCUAUAGAAUUCCUAUACAAUACCUCCAAACCAAAGGAGGCCUUAAUGUAUAUAUCAACGAGAGACCUAUUGUGACACUGUUAUAUUCAGAAAUUUGACAUGUUAUAUUCAGAAACUUGCGAAUUGAGCCUAUCUCAGAUGGUUAGUUUCUUUGUGGUGGAACCAUCCCACCAGGGUUCAAGUCCUAGACUUGACAUUGGUGUUCGCAUUCUUCUGGAUUUAUUCCAGACUUUCCAACGAUACUCGUUCAACGAGAGGAUACAUUUCCGUGGACUAUGGAGGCGCCUAUCUGAUUUCGUCACUCUCAAGAUGAUGUGCCUACUCAGUCUCUACGAGGUGCUCAUAGGGGUAGGAUGUGCAUACGUGCGUUCAUAUGAGUGAGUGUAUGUACGUAUGUAUGAACAUUUGCGUCUGUACUAUGUUAAAAAGGACCCCGAUAACGCCCAAACGUUAUUUUUUUGACAAUGACAAAUCAAACAUUUUUAUGGCAAUUUUAAUAACGUGAGGAUGCCAAGUUUAAUUGGCAAGCAUGGCAAAUUCAUGCUUAGUGUAUUUUUUUGCCAGGAAAUUGUUGUGCAUGUCUAACUAAACUUGCCAACCUCGCAUCACUAAAAUUGUCAUUAAAAACGUUUGAUUUGCCCUGAUCAAAUACCGCGGGUGUAUUUUUCUUGCUUCGCCCGUCGCCCCGUGAACGUAAAUGGAACAUACCCGUGGACUCGUGGAGAGUGAUCCGAACAUCGAUCGUCGCGUGGCCGCUGCAUGCCAUGUCAUUGGCAUCCGGGACCCGGCCGUGCAUCUGCUUUGCAUGUGUGUGUGGUGGCGGUGCGGAGAGCCCGGCCGUAUCAAAAUCGGCAUUCCCCAUUGGCCGGCCUCAUAUCGCCAUAUCACCUUAUCCACUCCCCCCACCCCCUCCACCCAAGCCCCCGUACCUCUUAGCUCAGCCAUCUCUCCUACUCAUCACCCACCAGACACCACUCCAUCUCCCGCGCGCGCGUGUGGCCUCCGCUCCUCUCCCCAUCUCCUCUCUCGCCAAGGACCACCGAGCUUGGAGCGCCACCGCCAUGGCCAUGGCCACGCAAGCCUCGGCGGCGACGCGCCACCUGAUCACCGCGGCCUGGUCGCCAUCCGCCAAGCCCCGCCCCGCCACCCUCGGCAUGCCCUCCGCCCGUGGCCCGGCCCCGCUCUGCGCCGCGGCCCCGGACACCCCCGCCCCCGCCGCGCCGCCGGCGGAGCCCGCCCCCGCGGGCUUCGUGCCGCCGCAGCUGGACCCGUCCACCCCGUCCCCGAUCUUCGGCGGCAGCACGGGCGGCCUCCUCCGCAAGGCCCAGGUCGAGGAGUUCUACGUCAUCACCUGGACCUCCCCCAAGGAGCAGGUGUUCGAGAUGCCCACCGGCGGCGCCGCCAUCAUGCGCGAGGGCCCCAACCUCCUCAAGCUCGCCCGCAAGGAGCAGUGCCUCGCCCUCGGCAACCGCCUCCGCUCCAAGUACAAGAUCGCCUACCAGUUCUACCGCGUCUUCCCCAACGGCGAGGUGCAGUACCUCCACCCCAAGGACGGCGUCUACCCGGAGAAGGUCAACGCCGGCAGGCAGGGCGUGGGGCAGAACUUCCGCAGCAUCGGCAAGAACGUCAGCCCCAUCGAGGUCAAGUUCACCGGCAAGAACUCCUUCGACAUCUAAUCUCGUACGUCGUAUAUGCGUACGUGCUAGUUCAUCGACCGGUAGUUAUUGGCGGGUGGCGAUGAUGAUGGACGUCCUGUAAUUUUAAUUGUCGAGUUUGAAUGAUGGAUUCGAUCGGUGAUAAUGAUGCAUCAGGUUAUAUGUACAUGGUAAUUUGAUGAUGAUACUGCUGUAUGUUAACGUUGUUCAUAUGCAUGAUCGGCUUCUUUUUAUGUUGAUGAUGAGUAGUAUUUUGUUUGUUACACGCGUACACGCUUUUUUGUCGUUUUGGCCAGAGAUGAAGCAUACGAUGUUUAAACCAUUCAACCUAGCACAUAAGCACGGUAACCCGUGUGGGCAACGCCUUCUCUACGUAUUGUUUUUGUGAAAGUAAUUACUGAAGAUAAGAUUUAUGCUAAAUCAGUU